AAUGAUAAAAAUAUUUUAUUAUAUUGUUUUUCUUUUGAUUUUUGUUGUUGUACUUAUCUAUCCGUCCUUACUCGAUUUACUCAUGUUCAGUCUUGAAAUUUUGUUGCAAUCCCUUGUAUUAGCCGUUUGUUAUUUAAAAAAGUGAUUUUGAAAUACUCGAAAAAGUCAUAUUUUUUAUAUAAUAAGUUACAGAAAGUCCUUUUAGUAGAAGUUUUUUACUUUUUUGGUAUAACUCCCCUUACUGAAUGAGUGAUAAGGAUAUAUUCUCUUUUAGUUUAUCUGAAAAUUUAAUAAGUUUAUAUUAUUAGACCAAUACUUGUUGACGAAGUUUUUUAAUUUUUAUUUUGAAGUAAACCAAGAAUUUUUCUAGAGAAGCCAGGAAAGUAGUUUCUCAUUGAAACACUUUUCAGCUUUGUUCAUUGGUAAAAGGCCAGCCAAACAAAAUAUGUAAACGUCUUUUACUCCUGAUUUUCUUGUAAAAAAUCUUAAACCAACGUGAACUAAAUAUGUCUAGUACAUUGUUCACUAACCAGAUAGUCCUUUAUAUAUGCCCGUGUUGUGCAAUGACUCAUAUAAUGUAAAGGGGUUGGGGUAGAGGAGAUAUUAUGUAAAUCUAAUGUAAUACAGAGAAGAAUAGUAAAACACUAAUCAUUAUUCUAUAAUAAUAUAUAGCGGUAGCUUCUCAACGCUCCCGGGGAUCUCAACGCUCCCGGGGAACGUAGGCACAAUUGGCCGAACCUCGUUACCAAAUCUCUUGUGUUAUUCUCUUGUCUUUAUACUCUUUACUAUUUGAUUGUUCGCUUGUUCCCAACAAUUGGUAUCAGAUGGCUCUUAACCCAGGUGCCAAAUUUGAGGUGGGGAAGUUCGAUGGAACUGGUAAUUUCGGAUUGUAGCAAAGGAGAGUUAAGGAUGUGUUGGCUCAACAAUGUCUAUCAAAGGCGCUGCGUGAGAAUAAACAAGAGGGUAUGGAUCAACUGGAUUGGGAAGAAUUGAAGGAGAAGGCUGCGGGAACCAUACGACUCUGUCUAUCAGAUGAGAUGAUGUAUCAUGUUAUGAUCUCACAUCACCAACAGAGGUAUGAGAGACAUUAGAGAAGCGGUUCAUGUCCAAGUCUCUAACAAAUAAAUUGUAUUUGAAAUAGUGACUCUAUGGCCUGAAGAUGCAGGAAGGUGUUGAUUUGCAAUAACAUCUCAACAAUUUUAAUCAAGUGAUCAAUGACUUGUAUAAACUUGAUGUGAAGGUUGAUGAUGAGGACAAAGCAAUAAUAUUACUGUGUUCUUUGCCAAAUUCCUAUGAACACUUGGUGACAACAUUGACGUACGGGAAAGACUCAAUCAAACUGGACGAGAUCACAUCUGCACUUUUGUCCCACACUCAAAGAAGACAGAAUGUAGGUGAAGGGUCUCAGGGUGAUGGUCUAUAUGUGAAAGGGAGCCAAGCGCGUGGGAGGAGACAAGGCGAGGAGGUCUGCCAAAGGGAAAAGACCAAAUUCCAGGGGCAGAACACUAGUAGAGUGCUAUAAGUGCAAAUAUGCUGGGCAAUACAAAAAGGAUUGUCCCAAUGAAUGAAGUCCUAGCAAACCGGUGGAGAAAACAUCUACAAAUAUUGCACAAAAAGAUGACUCUGAUUAUAAUAGUGAAGUUGAUUUACUAUCUGUAUCAUCAAAUCAUAGUACACAUUAGAGGAUACUUAACACUGGUUGUUCCCACCACAUGAUGCGCCAAACAGAUAAUGGUUCACCACAUACAGCGCAGGCAAUUUUGGUUUCGUGUAUCUUGAAAAUAUAAAGCAUGUGAACUUAUUGGUUUGGGAGGACUCAGAAUUGUGAUGGAUGAUGGUGUAGUGAAGACAUUAUGUGAGGUUAGACGCAUACCAGAUUUGAAGAAGAAUUUGGUUUCUUUGGAGACAUUGCAGGCCAAAGAAUUUAGCUAUAGAGUUGAUGGGGAGAGUGAUAUUCUUCGAGUAUGCAAAGGUGCUCUGACUGUGAUGAAGGGUAAAAGGACUGCAGGGAACACUUUCAAGUUGUUAGGGAGAACAGUUGUAGGUGAAGUUGCUGGAGUGGCUGAAGAGAUCUCAGUAGAUUCAGACCUUGGUGCUACAAAAUUAUGGCACAUGCAUUUGGGACACAUGACUGUGCAUGGCAUGACAAAACUAUGCAAAAGAGGUCUGUUGAGGGGAGUCAGCAAAUGCAAGCUAGAUUUGUGCAAGUAUUGUGUGCUUGGGAAACAAACACGAGUUAGUUUCAAGGCUGGCCAACAUAGGACUCGAGGCAUUCUAGAUUAUGUCCACACUAAUGUAUGAGGACCCACUCAGGAACCAUCCCUAGGGGGUUCUAGGUAUUUUGUUACCUCUGUUGAUAACUCUUUUCUCGCAAGGUCUGGGUAUAUUUUCUGAAGCAUAAGUCAGAAGUCUUUGCCAAGUUCAAGGUUUGGAAGACAGAGGUAGAGAACCAGACUGGUAGGAAAAUCAAAUACAUAAUGUCAGAUAAUGGUACGGAGUACAAAAACUCACAGUUUUAGAAAUUCUGUGAGGAACAUGGUAUUCAGAGACACUUUUCAGUGAAGAAGACUCCUCAGCAGAAUGGGGUGUUGUAGAGAGGAUGAAUAGAACUCUUACAGAGAGGGCCAGAUGUAUGAGACUGAAUGCUGGACUUUCCAAAGGAUUUUGGGCAGAGGCACUUAGUAUGGCAUGUUAUGUCAUCAAUAGAUCACCACGAGCUUCAUUGGAUGGUAAAGUUGCAGAAGAAGUAUGGACAGGUAACCCAGUUAAUUAUAAUAUGUUACGCAUAUUUGGUUGUCCUGCUUAUAUACAUGUACCCAGUGAUGAACGAUCGAAACUUGAUCCUAAGUCAAAGAGGUGUAUCUUCAUUGGAUAUACCAAAGGUGUGAAGGGGUUCAAGUUCUGGAUCUAGUUUCUAGAAAGGUGGUAUUGAGCAGAGAUGCAGUGUUUGAUGAAGAUUUCAUGAUGAAACAGUCAGUUUUGACAGAGGUGCUCAUACCAAAUGGAGAGACUUUGGGAUCAAAUAUGAUUCUAAUGAGCAAUGAAAUGGUUCAGGUGAAUAAAGGCAAGAAACCAUGCAGUAAUUCAAGUCAAGAACGAGUUCAGGUGUGCAUGAGUAUCUACUUGCUAGAGACAGAGAUAAACGUCCCAUCAAACCUUCAGAGAGAUAUGGCUUUGAGGAUAUGGCUUCAGUUGCUCUCCAUAUCACGUCCUAUCAAACCUCUAGAGAGAUAUGGCUUUGAGGAUAUGGCUUCAGUUGCUCUCCAUAUCAGUUCAGGAAGAGGCUAUAAACAGCUAGGAGAAAGAACAAUGGAUGAGUGCCAUGAUGGAGGAGAUGAAGUCUUUACAGAAGAACCAAAUUUAGGAGCUUGUUCCAUUGCCCCCAGACAAGCGUGCAGUUGGAUGCAAGUGAGUGUACAAGAGGAAGCCAGCAGUAUCAGAAAAAGAAGGGGAAAAGUUUAAGGCUCGUCUUGUAGCAAAAGGGUAUUCACAGCAGAAGGGGAUCGACUACAAUGAGAUUUUCUCCCCAGUGGUGAGACACACUUCUAUCAGGGCAGUGCUUGCCUUGGUAGCCAGCUGGGAUAUGCACUUAGAACAGAUGGAUGUGAAGACUGCCUUUCUCCAUGGUGAAUUAGAGGAGAAAAUUUACAUGACACAACCAGAGGGGUUCAGUGCAGCUGGACAGAGUCACUUGGUUUGCAAGUUGAAGAAGUCUCUAUAUGGGUUGAAGCAGUCUCCCAGACAGUGGUACAAGCGGUUUGACACUUAUAUGUUGAAGCUUGGUUAUAAGCGUUGUGAGUAUGAUUGCUGUGUUUAUGUGAGAAGCCUUGACGAUGGUUCGUUUAUUUUUCUGUUACUUUAUGUUGAUGAUAUGUUGAUUGCUGCUAAUCAUUUGAGUGAUAUCAAUGAGCUGAAAGUCAUGCUAGGUAAGGAGUUUGACAUGAAAGAUUUAGGGGCUGCUAGGAAGAUUCUUGGGAUGGAGAUUCACAGGGAUAGGGGAGCUAGAAAAUUAUGGCUCUCCCAGCAAAGCUAUGUUGAAAAGAUCUUAGAGAGAUUUGAUAUAAGCAAUGCUAAAGUAGUGAACACUCCAUUGGCAAAUCACUUCAAACUUUCCUUAGAUCAAUGUCCAAAGACAGAUGAAGAGAAGAAAUACAUGUCAAAGGUUCCAUAUGCCAGGUGGGUUGUUUGAUGUAUGCUAUGGUUUGUACUAGACCGGACUUGGCACAAGCAGUUAGUCAAGUAUGCAAGUACAUGUCGAAACUAGGGAAGCAACAUUGGGAAGCAGUCAAAUGUAUUUUCAGAUAUUUGAAGGGACUACAGGUCUCGGUAUCAUGUUUGGCAGCCAACAGAGUAAGCCUUCAGUUAUUGAUUAUGUUGAUUCGGACUAUGCAGGAGACUUGGAUGAUAGAAUGUCCACAACGGGUUUGUCUUCACCCUUGCAGGUGGACCAAUUAUAUGCAGAUCAUCAGUUCAGUCUGUUGUUGCUAUGUCCACAACUGAAGCAGAGUACAUGGCAGAUGGUGAAGCUUCUAAGGAAACGCUGAGGCUUAUGUGGCUAGUAAAUGAGUUAGGCAUUGAGCAAGGUGGAGUUCCGAUGCAUUGUGACAGUCAGAGUGCUAUCUUCUUGGCAAAGAACUAGGUGUAUCAUGCUUGGACCAAACAUAUUGAUGUGAGAUUUCAAAAGAUCAGAGAGUUGGUAGCUUGUAGGCAGAUACUAUUGCAGAACACACUUCAGAAAAUGCAGCUGAUAUGUUUACCAAACCGGUUACCGUUGACAAGUUCAGGCAUUGCCUGAGCUUGCUGAACAUUCACUGAUGCUGGACUAUGGAGCGCCCCCAACCUAAUGGUGGAAGAUGGAGAUUGAUGAUAUUCGCCAAGGUGGAGAUUGUUGUGCAAUGACUCAUAUCUCUAGAUAACAACAACACAAGUUAUGGGCUUGAGCUGAUAUAAAUGGGUUGGGGAAGAGAGCUAUAUAUAUUAAUGUUAUGCAAACCUAAUGUAACAAGGAGAAGAAUACUAAAACACUAAUCAUUAUUCUCUAAUAAUAAAUAGUGGUGGGACGUAUGGACAAUUGGUCGAAUCUCGUUACCAAAUUUCUUGUGUUAUUCUCUUAUCUCUAUACUCUUUACUAUUUAAUUGUUCGUUUGUUCUUAACUGUCAAAAAAAAUCAAACACUUCAUAUUUAGGUAAAAGGAAUGGGUUCAGUUUACAUUUUGAUGCAAAGCUUAUUUUUGUAUAUCUAGGAGUAUACAGACUAGACAUGGCUCCCACAUACAUAGCAUUUAUUGCUAGAAUGUCUGCACUAUGGAUUACUUUAUUUUCUAGAGCCUUAGUACUUCUGUUCACUAGUAUCUUAGGCUUCUUCUAGAUAAUUUAUGAGCCUUAAUUCAUCUCUUGUAAAUACACACUUUAACAGGUUGAUUCUAAUUUUAGUUAUUAAUAAGGAUUGUACUUGUUGGAAGUUGGAGUUGAAAGAAUGAAGGUGGACUCUAGUGGGUAGUGCUUUUUCUCCAAAUAUGACAUUUAUUAUAUUCCAAUCAGUUACAUAUCUUAUGAUGUUUUAACGUUUUCAUGUUAUUAUAAAUAUUUUGAUUUUUUAAAAUUCCAAUACACAUCUAUAUUUUAUUUUUCAACCAAACCCUUAUUUAUUACUCUUCUUUUUCACCGCCUAUUUCUUCAUAUCUUUUUAUCAAAUUGUAACUAAUUUUAUAAGAAAUUAUUAUGUACAUAACCUUAAACAUGAGAAAGAUCUGCCAUUGGUUUUGGUGGCGUGGCGUUCAUUUAAAUGAAGGAAGCACCAUUAUGCCAGAUGGAAUUGCAAAUUGGCUGUUGAGUUGCAAACAUGUUUUCUACCAGUUCAUUUCAGUCUUUAAUUUUAAUAAUUCAUUAAUAUAAUAAUUGCAGGCAGCUUCCGCUACAGCAGAGGCUGAGUUACCUCCCACACAUCCCAUCAGACUGGGUUUGGCUUUGAACUUCUCUGUCUUUUACUAUGAAAUUUUGAACUCUCCUGAAAGGUUUGCCUAAUAUUAUCUUCUUCCGAAAGUAUAUCAGACAUCUCUCUGUUAUGAUGUGCUAAUGCCAUGUGCCAUAGUCAGUCUCUUUAACAAGUUUAACAUGAUAAUCCUUGAAAUUCAGGGCCUCUCAUCUUGCUAAACAGGCAUUUGAUGUAGCAAUCUCUGAGUUGGAUACUCUGAGUGAGGAAUCUUACAAAGAUAGCACCCUGAUUAUGCAGCUUCUUAGGGACAACCUCACCUUGUGGACUUCUGAUUUCCCUGAAGAUGGAGGUAGAAAUAAAUGUGUUCCUGUAACGUUGCUUCUGAUCUGCAAUUCAAAUGGAAUAUAUGAUAUGCUUUAUUCUAAUUUAGUAGAGUAUCCUUUUCUGAUAUAGUUGACAUUUUUGUGAUGUAUGGUUGCUUGUAUGUGACUAAGGUGGCUUGUCGAACACUUCUUUCAUUGUUUUGUUUAUUCAAACAGGUGUUUGUGUUGAUAACACACUAGUUUCAGAUUAGCCCAUCUUUCUGUCCAUGGGAUGUUGUUAAUAGACUAAGUUUCCUUAGUGACUAUAUAGAGAUUCCAAGCAUUUUCAGCUUUAGAACAAACAUAUGAAGGAAGAGAUGGUAGUAAGCUUUUAGAGAAUUGGUUCUUAGUUAGUUUCACAAAUUUGAAGAAACGCCAGAGCCUCAAGUUAGUUGAAAGAAGGGUGAAAACAUCAACCCGCUAAAAGUUCUCACUUCUAAGAAAUCAGAUAAGUUGGUAACCAAGAUGUAUUGGAUCUACAUGAACAUAUGCAUUGGAUAAUUGGUGGUUCAGAUAUGUCUUUAGUGUUCAUUGUGGAAUUAGAAUUAGCUUCUAGUUCUUUUGAUUAUAAUUAGGUAACCUUAGUUUUCCAUAUAUUUGGUUAUUACGUAAUAACUUUUCGGUUUUGUGUGUGUUAACAAAGGUAUCCUCUCAUCCUAUGGGUAAAUAAUUUAUCCCUUUCAGAGUGUGCGGCUGCCCCUCCCUUGCUUCAAAGAGUCGAAUCCUGACCUUUAGUCUUGUACACACAAUAGGACCAACUCCUUGUAGCUAAUUACUUCGGGUCUUUUAUUGAGUGGUAUUUGCCUCAGUGUGCUGUUUUGUCCCUUCUAGUUCUGCAUUAACUUUGUAAUGGUGAUUGAUACUAAUUUAAUUUAUUUAUGCAACUAUGUGUGUCAAAUUAGGAGUAAUUGUUGAUAAGCUAAAAGAUAAUGUGCUUCUUGUGCUGUACUCUCUUCUUUUAGGUUCACUAGAAAGCUUCUUUAAAGGAACUAGCAUGUUGUCCCUAAUUUUUUAAAAAUAACAUUGCUGUUUUCCCCAUUCAGUAACUAUCUCCUUUUUUAGCAGGUGAGGAACAAAAAGUGGAGCCUGCACGAGAUGCUGGAGGCGAAGAUGCAUAGAUACGUUAUUUACCCACUCAGCACAUGAUAUUUGGGUGUAAUUUUACUUCAAUGGAAUUAUAUUUUGCAGUAAAGUGAGGAAGAUGCUGGCUAGGGGUUUAUGUUGUGAAUACUGGAAGGCUAGUGUCUCUAUGCAACUAUUUCUGGUUUAUGCUAUUUUUUUCUCAUGUUUUCUCGUUGAAGAAAGUUUAUGAUUGGCAUCAUUAGGAUUUCAUGAUAGAACAUGAAGUAACUCUGUAAAAAAUUGCAAAUUCUGGGGCUUUUCUCAUUUGACAAUGGAAAGAAGUAUUUUUAAUGUUGGCUUAAAGCAGUAAUUUAAUUGAUGCCUUGAUUUUUACUUAUAUCCGUCCAAGAAUAUGCUGCCUUGCGUUCUUUCCUCAGUCUACACACUUGAAACUCUUGAAACUGACAAAUUGUUUAUCUGAAAAUUGCUGAGUUAUUUAGUUACUCAGAAUACGUUUGAACCCAUCCACAAAAUUGGGAUUGGUUUUUCAUGUUGAAAAUCAUCAACUAAGUUGAGCAUCAGCUUGUGCCAAAAUUUGCCUAGCCUCCCAAUGAUUGAACUCAUCGGAAUCAUUAGCUAAUAAGAAAAAUGGGUCACCUGGAUGAGAUCAGAUUCAAAUCGGAUAGGAGCAAUGUAUCCUCUCAACAAAGAGGGAACAAGCUCUCAAAUAAAUCAAUGAAACACAAGUUCUUCUUUCUUGGUGACUCUAAUUAAGGACAGUAGUGAAGACUGAUUGAUCCUUGAUUGAAACAUACUUAAGAGUCCCAUCAUGAUAAAAGGCAGAAAUGAGAAUGUCCUUGCCAAUUGAAUCAAACAAACCUACUGCAACAAGAACGAACAUAGGUUCCUUAACUGACUACCCUAGAGGUGGUGGUAUCUCCUGACUAAACUUCAAAGAAAAAGUAUAUGCUUCUGAAUUAUAAGAAGGUUUUACUUGGACAAAGCGGUCCUAACUUGAGAGUACCAAAGUAAAGAAUUUGCAAAAUCUGCAUCAUUUGCAUCUCGCGUGGCAGCAUAAAAGUCUUUACAUGCUAUGGCUUGCCCAUCAUGUAUACUAAAAUAAGCAUCAUGCUUCUCACCUCGGCCAUCUUCAUUGGCUUUGCCACCUUCCUCCUCCUCCACUUCUUUUCCCUUGGUGCGCAUUCCACUGCCUCCACUUAUGCCCCAGCUCCACUCGGAACCUCAACAAUCUCCGACGUUUCCACGUCUCCAGAGGAUCUAACUAGCACCCGAAUCCCGUUGCAUUGUCUGCCUCAACCUCUUCUGUAACAGCCAAUGUUGCAGAAAGUUUCCAAGUUGCUGUCACCUCUUUCAUUGUCACUACGUUGUGUUAAGGAGGAAGGAGGUUUCUAGGAAUUUGUUAAGAAAUUCGAAGAAAUGAUUGAGAAAAAGGGAAUCUCCUUCAACGAGAGAGAACUCCGAAUUAUUAUUGACUUUGGGAAGAAGAUUACAAGAGAGAAAGAUUCUGUUUUUCAGAUUAUGAACUGAAUUCUGAAAAACAGCUACCUUUCUAUUUAUAGCAUUUCCUAACUGUUUUAACAGAAACAGUUUUACUAAAAAAGGAAAGUUACAACAACUAGCUACAAAAGGCAAUUGAUACAAGUAAAUGCUUAAGAGUACAAAGAAUACAAAGAUCCUUAUCAAUAUCCCCCCCUCAAACAAACCUUGACCUCAAGGUUUAAAAAACGGAAAUUUUUUCUGUAAAUCAAAAAGGAAUUCCCAGGUUGCCUCUUCAUCAAGUUGAUGCUUCCAUUUAACCAGAACUUUAGUAACAGCGUGACCUCUUCUUUUCACUGUCAUACGGUCUAUGAUGUACUCAGGUUCUUUGCCUCGUGCCACUGCAUCUGAGAAUGGGGGAAGCUGAGUUGAAGAAGGAACUUCACCAAUGUGUCUUUUAAGCUGGGACACAUGAAAAACAGGGUGGAUUGAAGAAGAAGGAGGAAGAGCCAAUUUAUAAGCCACCAUACCCACCUUGUCACUAACCAAAUAGGGCCCAAAAAAUUUAGGAGCUAAUUUAGCAUUACUCCUAUUAGCCACUGAAAUUUGCCUGUAUGGAUGCAAUUUAACAUAAACCGUAUCCCCAAUUUCAAAUUGCCUAUCUUGUCUGCUUUUAUCAGCAACUUGCUUCAUACGGUGUUGAGCCCUUCUCAAAUGGAAUUUAAGCACCCGUAGCAUUUCUUCCCUCUUGCUGAGACUACGAUCCACCAAUUCCACUGCUGAAUUUCCAGGAAGAUAUGGCAGAUAAUGAGGUGGUGGUUGACCAUACACAAUCUCAUAAGGAGUUGCCUGGAUUGAAGUGUGGAAUGUAGAAUUAUACCACCAUUCUGCCAAUGCUAACCAUUUAAACCAUUGCUGUAGUGAAUCUGAGCACAUACAUCUCAAAUAAGUUUCCAAACAGCGAUUAACCACUUCUGUUUGACCAUCAGUUUGGGGAUGAUAAGAUGAAGAAAGUUGCAGUUGAACUCCCUGCAGGGCAAAUAAUUCCUGCCAAAAACUGCUGACAAAAAUGGGGUCCCUAUCACUUGUGAUGGAAGCAGGGUAGCCAUGGAGUUUAAACACAUUAUCCAGAAAACAUUGGGCCACAUUGACAGCAGUAUAUGGGUGAGCUAAAGCCAUGAAGUGAGCUGCCUUACUCAACCUAUCAACUACUACAAGAAUGACUUACUUUCCUGAUGAUAAUGGUAACCCUUCAAUGAAAUCCAUGGUAAGGUGUUGCCAUACAUGAUCUGGAAUUGGCAGAGGUUGCACUAGACCAGGGUAGGGUGUUGUUUGAUAUUUGCAUGUUUGACAAGUUGGGCACUUCAUAACAAAAUUCUUAACAUCCCUAUUCAAGCCUUUCCAAUAAACCACUGAUUGCACUCUUUUAGUUGUGGCAUGCCUUCCUGAAUGACCCCCUGUUGCAGUGGUAUGUAGCCAUUGUAAAAUAUCUUGCCUGAGUUGUAGGUUGUUGCCAAUCACCAACCUCCCCUUCCUACGAAGUUCACCAUUAACCCAACUAUAAUGCUUGUGAGAAGAUGGUUGUUGCUGGAUCUGGAUUCUGAUGUUGCUCAAUGCUGGAUCUGAAUCCCAAGAAGCAAUGAUCCUGUCCAACAACACAGGCUCAAUAAUAUGAACUAGCAAGGCACAGCAAGCAUUCCUUCUUGACAAGGCAUCUGCAGCAAUAUUUUCUUUUCCCUACUUAUACUCAAUUUCAAAAUCAAAUUCCAGCAAUUUGACUAACCAUUUCUGUUGGAAAGAUGUUGCCAAUUUCUGAUCCAACAUGUACUUUAAACUGAUGUGAUCAGUUUUGAUUACAAAAUGUCUACUAAGCAAGUAGUGUCUCCACUUUUGAACAGCAAAGACCACUGCCAUAAGCUCCUUUUCAUAGGUAGAAGCUGACUGUUGUUGUUGGUUAAGGACCCUGCUCACAUAUGCUAUAGGAUGAUGGUUCUGCAUCAAAACAGCCCCCAAGCCAACCCCUGAAGCAUAUACUUCUAGCACAAAUGUCUUAGAGAAAUCAGGAAGAGCCAAAACUGGUGCAGUGCUUAAUAAUUGUUUCAAGUGCAGAAAAGAGUCUUUAGCCUCAACUGUCCAACAGAAAUUGUUUUUCUUGAGUAAUUCUGUUAAGGGUUUAGCCACUCCUCCAAAGCCUUUAACAAAUCUCCUAUAAUAGCCAGCUAGCCCCAAAAAUCCCCUCAAUUGUUUAAGUGUUUGAGGUAAGGGCCAAUCCUUGACAGCUGAAAUUUUUUCUGGGUCAGUGGAUACCCCUUGAGCAGAAAUAAAGUGUCCCAAGUACUCAACUCUGUCCACCCCAAAGUAGCAUUUGGAUUUCUUGGCAAACAAUGCAUGACUCUUCAUCAACUGCAGAACUCUUUUAAGGUGAGCCACAUGCUCAUAUAAGGAUUUGCUAUAAAUGAGGAUAUCAUCAAAGAAAACCAACAAGAACUUCCUAAGAAAUUCACUGAAAAUGGCAUUCAUAAGGCCUUGGAAUGUUGCUGGAGCAUUUGUUAACCCAAAAGGCAUUACCAAGUAUUCAUAGUGACCCCUGUGUGUUCUGAAUGCAGUUUUGUAUAUAUCUGAGGUUUCCAUUCUCACCUGAUGGUAGCCAGCUCUUAGGUCCAACUUGGAGAAAAUAGUGGAGCCAUGUAAUUCGUCCAUAAGGUCCUCUACCAAGGGAAUGGGGAAUCUGUCUUUGACAGUCCUUUUGUUUAAGCCUCUAUAAUCCACACAAAGUCUCCAGGUGCCAUCUUUCUUUCCCACCAACACUACAGGACUAGCAUAAGGGCUAUUGAUGUUUUGAAUGAUGCCUGACUCAAGCAUUUCUUGCACCAAUUUCUCAAUAAUAUCCUUCUGGUGCUUGGCAUACCUGUAGGGUCUCAAGUUGACAGGAUUGGUGCCUUGCAGUAGGGGAAUUUGGUGAUUGUGGCCCUCCCUAAGUGGUGGUAGAUGAGCAGGUUCUUCAAAAAUGUCCCCAAAUUCCUCAAGUAAUUGAGCAAUUCCAGUAGGAAUUGCAGGUUGCUCUGCAUGAGUGGUCAAGGAUUGUAGCAACCCUUGUUCUGUAUUGCAGAUUUGCAGCAUAGACAGCUGCACCCCUUGAUUCAAAACUUUGUCAAGCUUCUGAGAUUUUACUGUUUUGACAGCAUUUGUGGAUGCCCCCCUCAAGACAUGUCUCCUACCUUGUGUUGUGAACUCCAUUUUCAAUUUGUCAAAAUUCCAAGUAAUGUCCCCUAAGGUGACCAACCAUUCAAUACCCAACACCAUGUCACAACACCCCAAGGGAAUGAGCAUUACAUCAGAACUGAAAGUUGUGUGUUGAAUUGUCCAAGCAAAAUCUCGUACCCCACUUGAUAUUUGGAGCUUGUUACCAUCUGCCACAAUGACCAUCAGGGGAGUGAGGUGAUCAAUCUUGCAAGCCAGUGUGUGAGCCUUUUGGAUGUCUAGGAAGUUAUGAGUGCUUCCACUGUCAAUGAGUAUGUGAAGGGGCCUUUUAUUAUAAUGCCCUGUGAUCCUCAUGGUUCUAAAGCAAGGCAUACCAGUAAGUGCAUUAACAGAAAUAGUUGGUUCCCCAAAAUUCUGGCUUGGCAGUGUUACUUCUUCACCAAUAUCUUCGUCUUCCCCUCCAUCUUCCAUCUCCAAGACAUGUAGUUGAAGCUUUUUAUGUGCCAAGCUAUGUUUAGGAGUGUAAGGCAUGUCACAAAAGUAGCAUAGGCCUUUGGCACGCCUUUCAUUCAUAUAGGCAGGUGUUAAAUUCCUAGUAGUUGUAGGUUUAGGCUUGAGAGGAUCAACCUGCUGGUCAGUGUGCAAGGGUGAUCUAGCAGGUAUAAUUGGCUUAACAUUAGAAGUAGGUUUACUCCACUUAGGUGGGAACUUGAACAAGGUUGAUUGAUUAUGCGCAGAUUCAUAUAGCUUUGCUAAUGCAAAAGCUUUUCGAACAGAUUUAGGUUUGAACAUACGCACCAUCAUCUGCAUUUCUUGCCGUAGACCACCUAAGAAGCAACUUAGGGUAUAUUCCUCAGAUAGUUCCAACCUUGUGAUGAUGCCAUCGAAUUCCUCAUGGUAAUCCGUCACUGUGCCCUUCUGUCUAAGAUUCAUAAGCUCCACCAUAGGAUCCUCACAUACCUCCCCAAAUCGUUCUGUGAUGAUUUGCACAUAUUCACUCCAACUUGGCCAAGAACUGGACCACAAAUUCUUGACGAAUGCGUGGUGCCAUUGCAAUGCUCUGCCCUCGAAAUGAACCACUGCCAGCUUCACCUUGAAUUCUUCAGGUGUGCCAUCAAUUAAGAAGUAAGUUUCACACUGAUAGAGCCAUUGACGUACGUUAUCACCAUUAAAACGGGGAAAAUCAAUUCUGGAUAAUCUUGUGCCACAUGAGUAGUUAGAGUUGGUUCGUCUCUCACCAAGAAUUGAAGUUCUAGGCCGUGCAGAUUCUUCUCCACUAUCUUGCCUGGAUUUGAGCAAGUCUUCUACUGUCACUUUGAGAGAUUCACUCAACGAUUUCUGAAGUGCUCCUGCCAAGUCCAUGAUUUUUGAUUCAAUCUUUGCUGCAAGUUUACUUUCUAAGCGUUCUUCGACUUCCCGCAUGGAUGCUUGACUCCUUGUUGAUUCUGCCAUGGAAGCGUUUUGUGUGCCGAGGAAGGGUGAAAUCUGAUACCAAUUGUUAAGGAGGAAGGAGGUUUCUAGGAAUUUGUUAAGAAAUUCGAAGAAAUGAUUGAGAAAAAGGGAAUCUCCUUCAACGAGAGAGAACUCUGAAUUAUUAUUGACUUUGGGAAGAAGAUUACAAGAGAGAAGGAUUCUGUUUUUCAGAUUAUGAACUGAAUUCUGAAAAACAGUUACCUUUCUAUUUAUAGCAUUUCCUAACUGUUUUAACAGAAACAGUUUUACUAAAAAAGGAAAGUUACAACAACUAGCUACAAAAGGCAAUUGAUACAAGUAAAUGCUUAAGAGUACAAAGAAUACAAAGAUCCUUAUCACGUUGACAUGUGGCUAGUCAAGGUCACCCCGUGCCCUACUUGUGGUACACCUGUUCGAUUCAAUGCUGAGGCGGAUGUAGUGAUGUGGAUAGGCAAUUUUGGGAUUGCACCACUAACAUUAAUGCUCUCACCAUGUUAUUAGAGGUUGCAUAAGUUUAACUUUUUUUGUGCAUUUUCUUUUUUCCAAGCUAUGUAACACUAAUUAAAUCUUGUUAAUUCUGGAUAUCCCAUUCUUUCCCACUUGUUCUUAUUCAUUGUUGUCAUCCCAUUUUUAAAGCAUGUUGUUUUCACUUGUUUUAUUGUCCUUGCAGUUUUAAUCUUUAGAACAUCGUUUUUCUUACUAUUUUGAAUAUGUUAUUGUUAUGCAUGAUUUUGUUAAAGAUUCAAUCUCCACCACUCUUCUUGGAUUUGCGAUUGUCAUCUUCGUGACAAGCAGUGUUGGUUAUUUGAAUGUCAUCUUCUUUCUCACUUGUUUUUAUUCAUUUGUUGCCAUCCUAUUUUCAAGGCUUGUUGUUUCCCAUGUUGUUUCCCAUGUUGUUUUAACAUCUUUCUAGCCUCCUUUAGUAUGUCAUUUUCUCCCUAUUCUAGACUAAUUCUUGAUGGUACAUGAUUUUGUUAAAGAUCUUUUAGAGAAUGAUUAGUAGGUUAGGUUAUUAAGUGUGUUCUCUUAAUUAGAGGUGUGGUUAAAGGCAGUGUUAUGCUCACUGUGCUGAGCUGUCAAGUCUUGUGUAUAAAUAUCUUUCUUCUCUCUUGUAACAGAUUAACAAUUCAUAAAUAAAAAAUUUCAGUUUUCUCUCAACUCUCUCUUCUCUCUGUUUUUCUGUUCUUCUGUUUUUCUUACAUGGUAUCAUGACUUCAACCGUUCCUGGAGCCUCUCAUUCUUCUCCUCCUUCUUCUUCAUCUCCUCCACAUUCUCCGUCUCCGCUACAAACCAUCGCGUCAUCGCUGGUUCUUCCAACACCGGCGAUGAAGCUUACAGAACAAAAUUUCCUCGUGUGGCGUCACUUUAUGAUCGCAACACUCACUUCCAACCGAGCUAACAUAUUCGUUCUAGGUACAGAAAUACCUCAUCGUUUUCUCAACGAUGAUGAACGGUUAAUCAAUAAGGUAAGCUCUGCUUAUCUACGCUGUGAGGAGCAAGAUCAAGCGAUCUUCUCCUGGAUUCUGAACUCAUUAUCAGAAAGUUUACAACCUAGAGUUGUUGGAUGUCAACACUUGUGGCAGUUAUGGGAAGAGUUACACAACUUCUGAAACUCACAAACAAAAGCGAGGAGUCAACAACUUCGUUCUCAGUUGCGCUCCAUCACUCAGGGUUCUUUGUCUAUCUCUGAGUAUUUUCGCAAGAUUAAGAACUUAGCGGAUGCACUUGUGUUCAUUGGCGCACCAAUUUCAACCUCAGAGCACAUCGAUUAUGUCCUUGAUGGUCUAAAUGAGGAAUUCCAUCAUGUUGUUACUUCAAUUGAAACAAAAGACGAUCUACCAACACUACAUAGUUUGGAGUCAUUUCUCCUAACUUUUGAAGCAAGAAUGGAGAAGAAUAAAUCAAAAGUUCUGGCUGAUGCUCUAUCUGCAAAUGUUGCUGCUGCUCCAUCUUUUUCAUGUUCCUCUGGUCCUCAUUCAAUGCAAUCAGUUCCUUCGUCGACUCAGUUUCAUGACUCUGGUCAUUUUUCACCAAUGCGCCCUAAUUUUGCUACUGGUGGUUAUCGUGGUUUUCGUGGGGGCCGCCGUGGUGAUCGUUUCAGAGGUGGCCGGAGUUAUCAUCGUCAUUCACAGUUGUAUUGUGAAUUUUGUAACCGUCAUGGACAUGAGGUCUCCAAUUGCUACUAUGCACCUCUUGGAUACAACUCCCUAUCUCACAUCCCUCCUAGAUCUAGAGUUCUUACUCGUCCAAGUGGGCUUGGACCUCAGAACACUCUUCAUUUUUCCAAUGGGCCUAUGAAACAUUCGGCCCAUUACAACUCACCCUAUGCUGAUCGCUAUUACUCUUCUUCUCAUCUAUAUCCUCAUGCUUCUUAUUUUCCUCCUACAGCUGCUCACUAUUCCUUUGGGCCUCCUCCUUCCUCUUCUCUGCUUGGGCCUGGCCCAGUUUCUUCACAAUACGCUUUUCCCCCAUCUUCACGGGAACAAUAUCAUCAUCAACCCACCUUACACACCAUAUGCCAUGACCGCUAAUGCUUCUCUCUCAAUACAGAAGCCUUCCACCUGGUAUCCUGACCCACCAAUCAUUUAACCUCAGAUGCUGGACUCAUUCAUGAACCUUAAGAACACUUUGGUCCUAAACACAUAUUCAUGGGUAAUGGUCAUGGUAUUCCUAUCACUUCUAAUGGAAACUCUUGGUUUAAUUCCUCUAACUCAUCAUUUUCCUUUUCUAUAAACAAUCUUCUGCAUGUUCCUAAUAUUACUAAAAGUCUCAUCAGUGUUUCUCAGUUUGCUAAGGAUAACAAUUGUUAUUUUGAAUUUCAUGCUAAUGAUAGUUUCGUUAAAUCUCAGGGUUCUAAUACACUUCUCUUGAAAGGGAAUCUCACCAAAGAUGGAUUGUAUGUCUUUCAUGAUAUUGUUCCUAGCUGUGUUCCAAGCUGCUCAAUAGCUUCAGAUUUGAAUAAGUCUUCUAUUUCCUCUAGUUCUCAUACUUUGUGUAGUUCUUUUCAAUUGUGGCAUUGUAGACUUGGUCAUCCUCAGGAGGCCACAAUUUACAAUGUUUUAAAACAGUGUAAAGUGCCUUAUAAAAAUAAAUCAAUUUCUGAUUUCUGUCAAGCUUAUUGUUUAGGUAAAGCUCACAAAUUGCAUGCUCCAUUGUCUACUUCUGUUUAUCAUAAUGUUUUUGAACUUGUGUUUGUUGAUUUGUGGGGUCCUGCACCCAUUCAUUCUUACUCUGGUUUUAGAUACUAUUUUACUAUUGUUGAUGCUCACUCUAGGUUUACCUGGCUGUUUCUCUUAAAACAAAAGUCUGAAACUCUAUCUUUGUUUCAGUACUUUGUUAACCUAGUUAAAACUCAGUUUGGAACAACCAUUAAGGCUGUCCAAAGUGACUUUGGUGGUGAAUUUAGGCCUUUCACCACUUAUUUAGGGCCUUUAGGCAUCAAUCAUAGGCUUUCUUGUCCUUGCACUCACCACCAGCAAGGUACGACUGUGGAAAGAAACAUCGACAUGUUGUUGAAACUGGUCUCACACUCUUAGCCCAUGCUCAUUUACCUAUGAUUUUUUGGGAAUUUGCCUUUACUGCUGCUAUAUUUCUUAUCAAUAGGAUCCCUACUCCUACUUUACAGCAGAGGUCACCUUUUCAGAUCCUCUUUGGAGAUAUACCUGAUUACAAAUUCUUCAAAGUUUUUGGUUGCUCUUGUUACCCUUUUCUUAGGCCUUACAACAAAAACAAACUUGAACCUAGAAGCACUGAGUGUGUUUUCUUAGGGUAUUCACCUAAUCACAAAGGUUACAAAUGCUUGUCUAGGCAUGGAAAAAUUUACAUCUCCAAGGAUGUAGUGUUCAAUGAACAUUCCUUUACCUUUGUUCAUAAUCCUGGUUUUGGUGAUAAUGAUUUGCCAACAACCACUUCCAUUUCUCUCUCUCAGUCCUCUAUUCCUUUGAAUGUGUUUAAUCCCCCCACCUCUGUUUCCAUGUCUGUUGAUCCUGAGUCCAAUGGUGGUCCUUUAUCCUCAUCUUCUAGUCCUAUUAAUUUGUCUCAUGGUCUUAUUAGUCAGCCUAAUUUCACCUAUGGGUCUUCUGGUGCCAUUUCUUCUUAUUCUUCUGGUGCUAUUUCUCCUUCUUCUUCUUCUCUUCCUCUAUCCAUUCUUCCUGCUCAGUCUACUCACCCAAUGCAAACCAGAUCUAAGUCUAGAAUUUUCAAGACCAUUGUGCCUAGGGUGUUGCUUACUCAUAGUGAACCAGUCAAUGUCAAGUCUGCUCUUGCUGAUCCUGUUUGGAAACAAGCAAUGCUGGAAGAAUAUAAUGCUCUCAUUACUUUGGGAACUUGGUCAUUGGUUCCCUUACCUCCUAAUAAGCAGGCUAUUGGCUGUAAAUGGGUCUUUAAGGUCAAAGAAAACCCUGAUGGCUCUGUUCUUAAGUACAAAGCUCGUUUAGUGGCCAAGGGUUUUCAUCAAAAACAUGGCAUUGGUUACACAGAAACCUUUUCACCAGUUGUCAAACCCAUUACCAUCAGAAUUCUAUUAACCUUGGAUGUUACCUAUCAUUGGCCUCUUGAGCAAUUGAAUAUUAACAAUGUCUUUCUAAAUGGCAUUCUUGAUGAGGAUGUGUAUAUGCAGCAACCCUCUAGGUUUCAACAUAGUGACAAGUCCCUAGUGUGCAAACUUCAUAAAGCAAUUUAUGGUCUCAAACAAGCACCAAGACAAUGGUUUCACAAACUUAAGGCCACUCUUAUCACUCUUGGUUUCUUUGUCAGCAAGUGUGACAACUCACUGUUCAUCCAUACCUCUACAAAGACUCAAAUAUUUGUUCUUGUUUAUGUGGAUGACAUUAUUGUCACUGGUUCUUCUCAGCCUCUUGUCCACAAAGUCAUUAAAGACCUCAGUGCUUCCUUUGCUCUUAAGCAACUUGGUAAACUUGAUUACUUCCUUGGUAUUGAAAUCAAGCAUCUCUCUAAUGGCUAUCUUCUUAUGUCUCAAUCCAAAUACAUUAGAGAUUUUCUUGCUAGAGCUAAUAUGGAAUCAGCAAAAUCUGUCAGUGCCCCUAUGACUACAAGCUGCAAAUUGUCCAAACAGGGUGAUAAUGUCUACACUGAUCCUACUUUCUAUAGGUCAGUUGUUGGGGCACUUCAGUAUGCAACCAUAACAAGACCUGACAUUACCUAUAGUGUUAAGAAAGUUUGUCAAUAUCUAAGUAAUCCCCUUAACUCUCACUGGGUUGCAGUCAAGAGGAUAUUAAGAUAUCUCCAAGGGACUUUGUCCUUUGGUCUCUUCAUUCAGCAAACUACUUCAUCUGUUCCUCUUACCAUAUCAACAUUCUGUGAUGCUGACUGGGCAUCUGACAUAGAUGACAGAAAAUCUACCUCUGGUGCUUGGCUUUUUCUUGGUCUCAAUCUCAUUACCUGGUGGUCCAAGAAGCAGAAUACCAUUUCCAGAUCUAGUACAGAGGCAAGGUAUAGGAGUUUAGCUCUUGCUGCUCAAGAGCUCAUGUGGGUUGAGUCACUUCUCCAGGAAAUUAAGUUUCAAUACACAGUUCCUACAAUUUAUUGUGACAAUCUUAGCAUUGUAGCUAUGUCUCACAAUCCAGUUCUUCACAACAAAAUAAAACACAUAGAACUUGACUUGUACUUUGUGAGGGAUAAAAUUCAGAACAAAACUCUAAAAGUCACACAUGUUCCCUCUUCCUUGCAAACUGUUGAUGUCCUAACCAAACCCCUCUCCACUGCCAAGUUCAUUGGUUUCAGGCAACAACUUCAAGUCAGAGACUAUCUAAACAUGGGUCAGAAUUUUCAGAGCCCAGAAGUUCAGGGGGGUAUAUUAGAGAAUGAUUAGUAGGUUAGGUUAUUAAGUGUGUUCUCUUAAUUAGAGGUGUGGUUAAAGGCAGUGUUAUGCUCACUAUGCUGAGCUGUCAAGUCUUGUGUAUAAAUAUCUUUCUUCUCUCUUGUAACAGAUUAACAAUUCAUAAAUAACAAAUUUCAGUUUUCUCUCAACUCUCUUUUCUCUCUGUUUUUAUGUUUUUCUUACAAGAUCCAAUAUGCAUUGUUCUUCUUGGAUUUGUGGUUGUCAUCUCCAUCACAAGUUCACAAGCGUGGUUGAUUUUCUCUAUUCUCCAUAUGUGACAAUUUGGAUGUAUAUGUUUUGGCUUGAGAGAGAGUGUUGGAUAUAAAAUUGUGGAAGUGGUUCAUAUUUUGUAUGGUUGUAGUUAUUACUCAUGUUCUUGUGUUGAUCCAUGUUCUUCUUGAUGCUCUUGAUAUCGUCACGAUUAUUGGUAAAAUUACGGUGGUUUCUAAUUGGCAGUGCUCUCUAAUUUUUCCUUAAUGUUGAUCAAUUUUCAAAUUUAGUUCUUGUUGUUUUGUGAUACAUGUUGUGCGGCCAUCAUUCUUGUUAGUGUACUUAUGUCUAUGGUAGUUUAGCUUGGAGGUAGCUUCUGACAUGAUUGUUUAAGCAUGGUUUGCUUCUAUUUAUGGUAGUUAAGCUUGGAGAUAACUUUUGUCAUGUAUGAUUGUGUUGUUUCCUUCUGUCUAUAGUGGUUAAGUUUGGAUAAAGCUUCCAUCAUGGAUGGUAAAUGUUAUUUGCUUCUAUCCAUUUUGAUUAGGCUUAACGAUAACGUAUAUCAUGGAUGAAUAAUUUUUGUUGUCGGAUGGCAUUUGAAGAUUGCCAUUGUUAUUAAUAGUUUAGAGCAUUUGUACACCAUCUCAUUGCAUAUUUCCCCGACCCUUACAAUACCUUUGAAGCCAUGUUUGGUGGAGACCACAUGACUAUUUUUGGUUAUUUUCCUUUUUACAUGGGCUAUUCGUAGAAAGUUCAAGCAGGGAUGGCAAUAGGGAGGGCGAAAAUGAGUUGUAUUUUCUUAUUCUCAUAUCUAUGUUAUUUGUGGGUAUCAAUAUCGAUAGUGGGUAUGUGUGGAUAUCUGACGAGUUUUUAAGUUUAUGUAUAUAUUUAUAUAUUUUAUCAUAACCCAUAUGCAUAAAAUAACUAUUAAUGAAUAAAUUAUAUGUUAAAUUUAACAUUAUGUUUCAAUUACUAAAAUUCAUCAUAAAAUAAUAAUAAAAUAGAUAAUAUAUAAUUAUAAAAUAAUAAAACAUAUAAUAUAUAUAAUAUUUAAUUAAAAAAUAAAUUAUAAAUAUGUGGGUACCCACAGAACGGUAUCAUAAUACUUGUUUUCACCUAUAAAUUAUUCUUGUUGGUACUUGUUGUAGAUAUUUUUGUGAGUACUCACGUGACAUAUAUUUUUGUCAUCCCUGACUUCAAGCUUAGUAAAUUUUAACUUGAAGAAAUUAUCAUAAUAUACAAAAGUAUCUUAGAAUAUCUUAAAUUAUAUUAUAGAGAAUAUGUAAAUAGUACUUGGAGAGAGUAUCUCAUAUUGUAAUGCUUAUAUAUUUGAUUUGUUUAAAAUAUGUAAAAAGAUCUCUUAGAUUGAAAUUAGUUUAUUUUGACCUUCUUGAUUUGUUUCCUUAUUUAAUGAAGAAUUUAGUAUUAGUAUGAAACUAUAAAAAUGAGUUAAUAUUAUGUCUUUUAUAUCACAAUAUCAUCAUAUUAUCAUGUAUAACAAUAUCGGUACAAUUUACUAUGUUGGGCAAACCUUUAAAAAACAAAAAAUUGAAGAUAACUUGUAGCUUUUUAAAAAUGAGUUUGUAGCGUGUGAAUGCUACUUUUUAGAAAGCUACUUCAUGUAGCGUUUACAAAAAAUGAAAUUAACUUUCAAUAAUACGCUUUUCAAUUUUGCUUUUCAAUAUUUUAACAAAUUACAUUAUAUACCAUAAAUUAAAAAAAACUAUUAACCUUAUCUGUCACUCCUACCUUUUCUCUAUUUACGUUUCCAUCUCAUAGAAAAAAUCAGCACCUCCCCACCAUUUGUGUGACUUCUCAGUGAUUAUCACUUCAUGUAUAUCACACAAUUUAUAGGGGUUUAACGAUAUAUAGUAUCAAUAGUGGAAGAAUAUUAUAAAUUUAUGUAACUUAAUUGCAUUUUUAGAAAAAAUAUUGAAAAAAAACUUAAACGAACAAACAAAUAAAUAUUACAUAUUUAACUAUAAUUAAAAUAUAAAAAUAAACGAUUAUUUUAAAUUAUCUAUUUAUUUAAUUAAUAAAUAACAAAAUAAAUAAUGUAUUUUAAAUUUCAGCUAUUUACAAAGUUCAUUUUACCGAACAACUCUAGUUUAAUAAGUUACAUUCAUAACUACAAGCUUCCAACUACCUUCAUCGUUACAAGCUAACAAUUGUAAGCUAUAAGCUAAUUUUCACGAACAAAGUCACAUUUUAUAGGUUUUUAUAAGAGACAAAUGAUUCUAUUGAUUAUGUAUUUUUUAUUUUAUUUUUCUGACAUGGUUAGAUGUAGCAUAGUUAGAGCACAUCCUACUACUUGAUUCUAUACAGUGAAAUAUAUGAUAUUGUUUGAUGUAUGAGUGAAAUUGUUAUGAGUUUUUCUUUGCUUUAUCUUCUAUCAAUUGUGAAAAGUUGUCAUCAUAGUUAUUCAGAUUUUAAAUGAUUUUCCCUAUUGAUUCUUUGUGUUAUUAUUUUUAUUUCUAUGUUUGAAUAAAUAUAUUAUUCACAUUUUAUUUUUUGGUAGUACCAAGUGUAUCCCUCACCCUUUUGGGUAAGGAAUUAAUCCCUUUCAGGAUAUGUGUCUGUCCCUCCCAACAAGUGUCGCUCACAAGAAUUAAAUUCUUGACCUUUUAAUCAUCUUAAAGAUCUAGCAUGACCUUAUACUAUUAGAUCAAUGCCUUGUUGAUUGUUAUUCACCCUUUAGUUGUAUUUUUUUUGUAUUAUAAAAUUUCCUUUACUACAAAAAGCAAAGCUCAAAGGUAUAAUAAAGAGUAAGAAGAAAGUUUAUUCUACUUUUAGCAUACAAAUAAAUUGCAUUUUUGGAAUAAAAUAUUGAAAACAAAAAAUAUAUAUUAAAUCAAAACAAAUAAAUAAAUAAAAUAUUUCAUAUCCAAAUAUAACUAUAAUAUAAAAUUAAAUGAUUAUUUUAAAUUAUGUUUUAUUUAAUUAAUUCAAUUAAUAAAUAACAAAAUAAAUAAUGUAUGUCAUUUUUAGUUAUUUUUAAAAUUUCAGCUAGUUAUAAAGCUUGUUUUACCGAAUACCUCUAAGUUAAUAAGCUACCUUCACAACUACAAACUGUCAGCUACCUUCAAAAUUACAAGCUACAAGCUUACAACUAUAAGCUAUAAGGUCACAACUACAAGCUAAUUUUCCCAAAAAGAUCCAAAAUGGUAGAGCUUUCCCAUUCUCAUACUCGUACUAUUUGUCGGUACCCGUGCAACUAUUUGUUGGUACCCAUGCACAUAUAGGGUAUGCACAUAUACCCGACAAGCUUUUAAGUUUAUGUAUAUAUUUAUAUAUUUUGUAAUAAUAAAUAUAUAUAAAAUAAUUAUUACAUGAAUACCUAAUAUGUUAAAUUUAUCAUAUAUUUCAAUCAUUAAGAUUCAUUAUAAAAUAGAUAAUAUAUAAUUAUAAAAUAAAAAUAUUUUAUAUAUACAAAAAAUAUUUAAUUAGAAAAUAUUUUCUAAACAUGCGGGUAACCUUGGGGUGAGUAUCAUGAUAUUUGUUCUCACUCAUAAAUUAUUCUUACCGGUAAUUGUGAGUAUUUAUGCGAGUAUCCAUGAGAUGAAUAUUUCUGUCAUUCUUAGAUGUAAACUUAGCAAAUUUUAGCUUAAGGGGAUUAUUAUAAUAUACAAAAGUAUCUUAGAAUAUCUUAAAUUAUAUUAUAGUAAAUUGUACUUAGAUAUAGAGAUAUUUCUCAUAUUAUAAUUCUUAUAUAUUUGAUUUGUAUAAAAUAUUUUAGAAGAUCUCUCAUUAAAAUUAGAUUAUUUUAUCUUUCUUGAUUUGUUUCCUUAUUUAAUUAGGAAUCUAAUAUUAGUAUAAAACUAUAAAGAUAGUUAAUAUUGUAUUAUUAUAAUAUCACCAUUCACAACAAUAUCUAUACAAUUUACUAUGUUGAUCGAGCAUCCAUUUUCUUCUUUCCAUAUGAAAAACCCUAUAAUUUCAAUACAAACCUAAGUUGAGAAGUGAUUAUUUAUUAUCCUACAAGAUGAUAUAUCUGGAUUGUUCUCUUCUGAUGUAUAUUUUGCUUAACUUGCAUGGAAAAAGAUAAGAUUUUAUGGGAGAUAGUAUAAUUAAUAAGUUUACAAUAUAAUUUUCUAUAACACUAUAUUCAAUUUAGAGGAGGUAAUGGAUUCAAUUUUACUGUAUUUUUGAAAUGUUCUCAUUGUUUUCUUAGCUUCAAAUUCUCCUUUGUACAAUGAUUGCUUAACCCUCAAGUUGUCUUCUUAAGUGUAAUGUUUCAAUGUGAAUAAGAGUACCACUUGUUUUCCUAAAAAGAUUAUUUUUCUAUUUUAAUAAAAAUUAUUAUUGCUGAUAAAAAACACGAAGGUUUUGACAGUAAUAUAUUCGGGAUUAAGUUACAUAUAUUUAUCAUCUCUAAAUUUUAUUAGGUGUGAGCUUUAGGCAUUGUACUUUCCUGAUUUAAUCUGACUAGAAUAUGGUUAUCUGAAUAAAAUAAUUACAAGAAUAAAGUAAAGUAUUCUUAAUGUUCCUAGUGAGUUCUUAUUUAUAUUAAAAUAUCACUUACGUAUACAAUAGUAAACUUAUUUUAGAAAAAGUAAUCCACAAUAAUUCAAAUCAUUUUUUAUUAAUUCACAAAAAUUAAUCAAUAUUUUCCACGCACAUUUAGAAUAGGAAAAAAAAUGCAGAUGUUACAAUUAACAAGCAUGAUUUCAACUUCUUAUUAAAUCAUUUUGUGUCACCAUUACAUAUUUUGCAAUGGAUUUUUCGUUCUUGCAUAUUUUUCAUUGGCAUUUACGAUUUUUGAAAUGAAUGCAUUUUUUAAGUCACACAUAUUUGAUUCAUAAUCUCAUUUAUUUUCUUAUUAAGGGUAAGGCAUGUAAUGCUCAAAGGCGGAGAGAAGGCAAAAAUAAAUUAGCAUAUAUUACAAUGAAGAAAUGCUCAAUUUAAAGCCUAAAAAGCUUAAGUGAUCACUGAUCACUUGGGUUCCAAAAUUCACUAGCGUUAGAGGGAACCUCACAACCUAUAGAGAAUUUCCCAAAUCAAGUGAAGGAUAUUUCAUUAUCCUUUAUUAAUGAAUAAAAAAGUUCUUUCAAAGUUUUCGGUUCACAUGUAAAAGAUACAUCUUACAAGACAUCCCUAAUCAUAUUUUGAUGAACAUUUUAGAUAUUUCUAAAGUUUAAGUCGUGUAAUCUUUAUCUAACAUAGCAGAUUUAUUAAAGUCACUAGAGUUAUAAACUCGAAAACCAUCCAAACCAAAUCCAAUAAAAUCAAACUUGAAAUGAAAAAAAAAUGAGGUAUUGGUUUGCGAUAAUUUUGAUUUUGGGAAUGUUCAAAUCAAGGAAAAAAGGUAUUUUUUAUAAAGAAAUAUUGUGUUUAACAUAUUAACAAACAAAAUUGAUUUUCUAAUACUAACUUAUCCUUUUGUAAUUAUUAACCUACUGAUUAAUUAGAAAAUAAUAUAAUAAACUGCGUAUAAAACUAAGUGACUUUCUAAUGAAAACCUAAAUGGUUUUAAUGUAAUUAAUAAAACAUUUAAAUCUAUGCAUAUAUUAUGAAGUUCAGGUAAUAUUUUAUUUAUACAAUUCUGAGUUUGUGGAAUCCAUUAUCGAAAUUUCAUUAAUUCACAUCAUUUGUUAUCAUAGCUAUAUUAAGCUAUUACACUUCUGAACUAAUUAAAAUACAAUUAAUACAAUAUAUAAAUAUAUACGACAUCAUAAGUGAUGAUUAGAACUACUCUAUAUAACUCUCCAACUUUGCCAUAUAUUUUGCACAUCCCUACCAAGACUUGGUGGUGAAACGUUCAUCACUUACAUUUUCGAUAUGAAAAGAAACUAAUUUUUUUGAGAUGUAUGAUUAUCUCUCAAAAAGUAUCGUUUCUAUGAAUUGAACAUUAACCUUUUAACCAAAUUUAGCGGGUCAUUAUAUUGUUGGUUACUUACAUUACUCAGUUGAUAAUGAGAAGACUAAUGUUUUUUUAAUUUGAAUGCAAGUGUCACCUAAUCAUCAGCAAAGUUAAAUAUUUUAGGUUAGUUUGUUGAUAGAAAACUAUAAAUUUUCUAUAACAUUUUAUUUUUUUCCUAUUACAAAUAAGAGAAUAGCUUUUAUGUUUCCCAAAAUCAAAGACAAGGAAUUGUAAAUCAACUUUAUCUAGUUCAAUUCCGAAUUCCAAGAGUUUAAAAUCAAAAUCGAAAUAUUUCGGUCCAUUUUAAUUAAUAAAAAAUGAUUUUUUUCAUCGAAUGAGAAAAAAAUUCUUGAAACUUAUGUGAUGCAUAGAAAGAGUGAAUUCUAAUAAAGAUCUUACACUUCAUUUUUUGGAAGCUCAAUUCAUCUAAUUAAUAAGGGAUGAUUAAGUUAGAACUUAGUUUUAGUAUUCUUCUAGUUGCGGAUAGCCCUUUUUCAUUUAACCAACGAUGUCUUGACCUUUGAUUCUAUAUCCAUAAUCAUUAUAUUAGAAAAAGGUUUUAACUUUUGUACUGGGUAGUACCUUUGUGCUUUUCUAAUACAUUUCUCUUUGGUGUUUUAAAAAAUGAAACAAGAAGCAUAAAAUAUAAUACCAAUUAAACUGAUAACGAGAAUCCCAAUUAUAGUACCUAUUAAUUAAAAGAGAAAUCAUUCUAUUAUUUUUAUUAUACAAUUUAUGAGCUUGACGUAAUAAAAUUAUUAAUUAGAAUUAUAAGAUCACACGUUCAAAUUCUCGGGGUGUUUAUAUACAACUCAUCUAAAGGUUUGCAACAGUUUUUUCAUUCAUUUCAAAAGUGAAAAAUGUCACUUCUCUUUGUUAAAAAAAAGCAUUAUCAUAUUAUCCUUUUGGAGAGAUGACAACAUAAACCAUACAAGAGGGAAACAUGUCUCUCUUUUUUAUUUGAAAUUUCUCAUUUUAAUGACUGCUAAUAUGAUCAAAUAAUGGAAAACAAAACACGUAGAGUCUCUAUUAUUCCACUAAACUCUUUUAAAAGUAAUCAUUUUGGAAAGCAAAUAUGACCAACUGUGUGUUUCAAACAUAGCAUAAACAUGCAUGAAAACUAAGCUAUUUUCAACCAUCGUGUCUAAGAAUAGGCAUAUUCAAAGACAGAGGAUGUAAGAUAAACAUAAGACCCAUGAAUGAAAGAGACUCUUGAAACACUAUAAAAAAGACAAUGAUUCUAAGUGAAAAAAAUGUCAUUCCAAACACCAUUUGAGUUGUUCAAUUCUCCAUAUCGAAGCAUCUCAUUUCCACCACCAUUGGCUGAAUCAAUACACCAAUUUUGGUUUUGUGUGACAUCUAUGUUGUUUUGCAUCAUCCCUUUGAAACGAUCAUUCACAGCUACAUUCUCAUUCUCUUCAUUGAUGACUUCUCCCCCAUUUGUAAACAUUGGAGACCUUUCUUGGGGUUGGUCCUUAGUGACAUUUCUUUCAAUCUCCUUUAGGGUUUGAUCAAUCCUCCAUGAAAGGCCAUUCAAAUUAGCCAUGCUAACAUUGUUAACAAGGUACCCACUACUCAAACAUUGAUACAUGAGAAGAUCCAUCUCCUUCUUCCUAUUCUCAUUCCUCAACUUCUUCAACUUCUCUUGGGCUUUCAUGAUGCUUUGGUUCAAGAAACUUUCUUGAUUGAACAUCUUUUUGCUUUGUACCAUUUGAGACACUCUACUAAACUUGUAGAGAACCCUUUGGGCUCCCAAAUGGGAUGGCCAAACCUCUGGUUGAGGUUCAUUGGAGUUAUAUAUUAUAGCACAUGCUUCAAUCCCACAAAGGGUACUAAUCUCAUCCAUCUUCUUGAUUAGACCAUGUUUUCUUUUCUUGUAUGUUGUAUUCCUCUUUGAGUCACUAGCUAUGUAUCCUAGGUUAAGCUUCUUUCCUGCCAUGAUUGUGGCUGAAAAAAGGUCAAGAAAGAAAUACAAAAGAUAUCGCUUUUGUUUGUGAUUAUCUUACUAUAGUGUUAUAGUAUAUAUAUAUGCACAUAUAUGAAAAUGUGAGAUAUUUCUAAGUUUAUUUUGGAAAGAGUAAAUUAUACUACAUAUAUAUAGUUUAAUGAAAUUAUAUAAAUUACUUCUCAAUUUUUUAAAUAUACACAUAUCACCCCUAAUAAUAUACAUACAUUACACUAGUUACUUUCGUAGGAGAUAUAAUUGUAAUUUCUUAAACAAAAAAUAGUAACAAGUGUAAUUAAGUUAAACAAAAUAUAAUAUAUUAUAUUGUGAAGAUAAUUCCAAAUAGUAUAAAAAGCAAUGUCUUUUCAUUAUUUUGGUUAGUUAAAAUAUAGUAUAGGAGUGAUUUAAACACCUCUUAAAAUUAUUGAUAAAAUUUGCAACGAAACAAAAAUAAUGAAUAAACAUUGAUUCUUAUACUAUUUAAACUUGUCUUCACAAUAUAUUAUAUUUUGUUUGACUUAAUUAUACUUAUCAACAUUUUUUGUUUUAGAAAUUACACUUAUCUUUUCUACAAGGCAAGGGUAAUCAGUAUAAUGUAUAUAUAUAAUUAGAGAUAAUUUAUAUAUAUUUAAAAAGUGAAUAAUAAUUUGUGUAAUUUUACUACAGUUUCAUGGAGAGUGUGAGUAUAAUUUAUUUAUUGGAAAAAUAUCAAACCUGUUCCUUGUCACUGUCAUCAAAAAGCAGCUAGAUAGAUUUUUACUUGUUAUUUUUUAAAUAGCCUUCUAUUUGUGUUUGGGAAAAAAUCCAAGAGUUUAAUGUGUAUAUUCAAGUAAGUGGGUGAUAAAGUUGUUAUGGGAAAAGGUUGUUGCAUAUUACGAAUUUUUUUGAUUGAAUAUCUUUGCUGAUUUUGCACAGAAUAUGUAUGUAACAUUUAAGUGAAAAGUUUUCUUUUUAGUAUUUUACUAACUAAUUUCCUAAUACAUGUUAUGUUGCAAUCACAACUUUUUCUUAUUUUAUUGAUGCACACAGGUUCACUUAGUAUAGCAACAACUGGUGUGUGCAUAAUAUAUAUGGAACAAAAUAUGUUCAAACAGAUUCUAUUUGAUGGGUUGUUCCGUGCUAAUAAAAAUAUGUCAUAUAAACUAAAAAAGUUAAUUUUUUAUUAUUAUGAUUGUUUUUAUUUCAUUAUCAUUGACAGAGACAAUGUUAUGCACACCCUGCAAUACUUUAUAAAAAACAAAUAAUCAUUAUCAUAUUAAAAAUUUAAUACUAUUGUAGAUAUCUAACCUAAGGAAUUUUAUGAUUGUUUCUUUUAUACAACUACUUAGUUGUUUAUUUAUAUUUCUUGUUUGAGGAGAGUCAAUUUGUUCUUUACUUCUUAUAUGGCAAAACUGAUUGAACUUUUAAUGUUUUAUUCAUGUGAUUUUUGUUCAACUGUUUUUGUGAUAUUUGAUAAGCAACUUGAGACUUACGUCAAUGAUAUAUGUAGCAAUGUUAAAUUUGCUUUUUUGAAAAGAAUAAAAAAUAUUUCAGAUAAGUUGGUUAUAAAGUGGAACACGUAUUGUUUACUCAUUAGUUUAUUUUCUUUUGAAGAUAACAAAUAGUCUUUUCAACUAUGAAAGUUGUGAAAAAAUAGACUGCAUAAUUAAAUGAGUGAUGCAUGAUUAUCUAAUGACUUAUAUUGAACAAUAAGUGUUCAAUAAUAUUGACAAUAAGUUAAUUAUUUAAUAAUUUCAAAUUAUGAAGUCGCUUGAAGAUCAAUUAAAAUAUGUAAUUUAUUGAUUAGAUAUAUUUAAGUUUUAUAGUUUUGACAUUAAUGUUUUCAUUUUUUUAUAUAUAUGAUAAUAUUUAUUAUUUUAAGUUUAAAUAUAUGUUGUGCAUCCUGCCUAUAAGACUAAGAUUUGUCACUAAUCAUUCGCAGGAAACAACUUAUGAAACACGAUGUAAGAACAUAUAUCUUUUAUCAAUAUACAUUUGCUAUAAAUUACUAAAAACUAAAAGUAUGCUACCACUGAUUUGUAAAACCACUGAUAACUCACAAAACAAUUGGCGUAUUUCCUAAAAUGAGAGUGAGAAUUACUGUUUGAUUUGUAAGAAUUCUUUCUAUGCAUAUAUUUUACGUAAGUUUUAGGUAAUUAACAUUAUUUUAUGAUUUUGAUUAUUCAAUUAUUACCUUUAAAACAUUACAUUUCUUAUCUUGAAGGCUCGAUUAAAGGAAAAUGAAAAUCCUGACGAAAAUGGAGCAAAUUCCAAGCAGAAGAGAACCAAUUCUGUUAUGCACAAUCAUACAUUGAUAAUCCUUGCAUGCCAUUCAUAUAUAAUCAAGCACGAUCAUUCUUCACUACAAUUUACAAAUGUUCUUACGAAGUGGAUUUGCACUAUGAGACGAUACAAUCUUAAGUUUUUUCUCUCGGAGAAGAUUUGGUUGUAAAGUGUUGCCAAAAGUACCAAACAUUGGAGGGAUGAGACAAUAGAGCUUUUUGGUCAAGAAUUUGAGUCCCUAAAUAGUUUUACAUUUAACUAUUUUAUUUUUGUUGGGAUGUUUGAAAUAUGUUACUAUAUGAAAUUUCACAUUGUCUAGCAUUAGAAUAGAGUAGAAUAUCAUGUUAAAAAUUCAUAAUUUCUAAUUAAGGUGGUCAUCACAUAUUUAAUACAAUUAUAUUGACUAUUUAUUUUGGGGCACUGUUUGAGAUUAAACUUGUCUCCCUUAGCUAUAAGGGUAUCAUUGGUUUACUUUCUUUCAUACCAAAUCUAUCUAGGACUUUAUCUAUAUAGCUUUCUUGUGACAAUCUAAGUAUACCUUGAGAUCGAUCUCUUAGUAUCUGAAUACCUAAUACAAAAGAAGCUUCCCCAAGAUCUUUCAUUUUGAAAAUUUAUUCAUUAGAAAUCUCUUGGUUUAAUGCAAUAGUCACAUAUCACUGCUAGCAAGCAGUAUAUCAUCAACAUAUAAUAUCAAGAGUAUAAAUUUACUCUCACUGAACCUGUGGCACACACAAUCAUCAACUUUUAUAGCCUCAAAACCAUACGAAGUAAUAACUUGAUGAAACUUGUGAUUCCAUUGACGAGAAGCUUGUUUAAGGCUACUUUGAGCCAACUGACACAAAGUUUUCUGGCUGCACCAUAUAAAUCUUUUCUUUAAUGUCACCAUUUAGAAACACAGUCUUAACAUCCAUCUAAUGUAACUCUAAAUCAAAAUGAGCUACUAGUUCCAAUAUUAUUCUAAAAGAAUCAUUUGAAGAUACCGAAGAGAAGGUUUCUUUAUAAUCAACGCCUUCUUUCUGAGUGUAGCCUUUAGCAACUAGACGAACUUUAUAUCUGUCAAUAUUAUCCUCCGAAUACCUCUUGGUUUUAAAUAUCCAUUUGCAACCAAUAGGUUUCGCACCUUCAGAUAGUUCGACAAGAUCCCAAACAUCAUUAUCAUGCAUAGACUUUAUCUCAUCCUUCAUAGCAUCGAUCUACUUUUGAGAGUUAAAACUUUUCAUGGCUUGACAGAACUUCAAUGGAUCAUUCUCUGUUAACCUGAUGUCAUCUUCAUGUUCUUAAACAAAUACAAUAUAAUCAUCAAUAAUUGUACUUCUCCUCUCUCUAAAGGAUCUCCUUAAUGACACUUAUACUUCUUGAGGUUGUUGAAUUUUUUCAAUAGGUACUUGAGGAAGAACCUAAUUGUUGUCUUGUUCAAGAAUAUUAUCUGGAACAAUAUUCUGAAAAUUGUCUUCUAUUACCGAAGCUAUUCCUUAAAUGACAAUAGGCACAAGAACUUGUUCACCAUUAGUGAUAGGUUCUUCCACAAAGACAAUAUUCUUUAUGUUUUCUUCCUCCCAAAAUCAAAUUCCUUAAGAAAUCUUGCAUUUCUCAUCUCAAAAAAAUCUUGAAGUGAGAUCAUAAAAUUUAUAGCUCCGAGAGCGUUCAACAUAGACAACAAAAUAACAACUAAUUGUUUUUGAGUCCAGUUAUCUUUCAUGUGGCCUAUAAGGCCACACCUCAGCUGGACAACCCCAAAUGUGCAAGUGUUUUAAGCUUGGUCUUUUAUUAGUCCAAAGCUUAUGUGGGGUUUUGUUAACUACUUUACUUGGCACCCUAUUAAGGAUAUAAACUACGGUCUUCAAAGCUUCACCCCAAAGAGACUCUAGUAAGGAAGAAUGAUUAACCAUACUUCUCACCAUAUCUUUAACAGUUCAAUUUCAUCGCUCAAUAACACACUUCAUGGUAGGUUAGUUUAGCAUAGUGUAAUGUAAAACAAGUCCAUGUUCUCUAAGGAAAAACACAAAUAGUCCUUUCACAACAUCCUUAUUGUUCUUUCUUUUCUUAUUCUGAGAGGUCAUAAUCAAAUGAGCACUUUCAGUCUUCUCUCUCUACAGUCUCUCUUUCUCUUGCACACACUGAGAUAUAAACUCAUUAUGAGACCAUUUGUCUUUCUGAGUGUUAUAGCUUACUUUGAAUGGCCCGAAGUGUGCAUGAAGCGAGAUCAAAACCAAGUGCACGAGCAAGCCAUCAUCAAGCUCUAACUUAAGUGACUUGAGUUUUGAUGUGAGAUUAGACAUCUCCAUAAUGUACUCCAAAAUAAUCCAUUUGCCUUUAUACUUCAUGGAGAUGAGUUUAGCCAAAAAGCUACUCGUCUCCGCCUUUUUAUUUUUGACAAAGUAUGAUUCUAUUUCUUCAAGAAACUUCCUUGUACUCUGACCUUCAUAAAUAUAGCUCCGAAAUGCGUCUGGAAUAGAGUGUUUCAUGAUCGUUACGCACAUAGGUUACAGCGUUCUCCUGUCUCAAUUUUAACCUCAUCGAGGAUUUCCGGAUCUAAAUCCAGACAUCCGUGAAUAAUUUCUAAGACUUCCUUCUAGACCUUAAAUUUUGUCCCAUUGAGCAAUGAGAUUUUCUUAAUUUGAGCAUAAAUAUUUACAACUACUAAAAGAACAAAACAAAUUGCAAUCAUUCUUGCAAUUAAACUCAUAUUUAACUUUAAUACUUAAAUUCAAAUGAUGAUGGAGCACAACAUUAAUAUUUAGUCUUUAGACAAAAUAUUAACUUCAAAGUGGUACACUCAAUGUAGUAAUCAAACAUUGAUAAUUAGUCCUGUCAAACAAUAAGUCAUUAUUUUGACUGGCUUACUAUUCACAUGGAAAAUCAUUUGAUUAUCACAUAUUUAUUGCUACUAGUAUGUUUGUAAUUUGGGCCAAAUAGUAAUCUUCCUUUGGGCUGAUCACUAUUCGCAUAAAAUGCAAAAUUAUAAUUGGCUUGAUCUUUCUUAUCAAUCACUAAUGAUACUCUUGUUUGUAACGGUCAAACAUUAAUCAUAAUGCAUGUCAAAUGAUAAAUCCUUCUUUGGACUAAUUUAUCAUUCACAUAUGCAACUUUAUAUUAAUCACAUGUUUACCAUCACAUGCGUUUAUAUAAUCCGCCCAAAUAAUAAUCUUCCUUUGGGCGAUUAAUACUCACAUGGAUACAUAUACGCACUAGCAUUUGACAUUUAUUAUGAACAAUUCACAUAAAAGACAUCACUUUGGCGACUUGUUUAAUAGGUUCACUUAAAAUGUCAAACAAUUUUAUUUUCCAAAAGAAAAAACCAUUUGGUUGAGUUUGAUUCAACACUUAAUCCAAAACAUAUAUUAUUUAUAUCAACAUACAAAUACAUAUAUCCACUAUAGCCAAUUGAUAGUAUUAUAUCAUUCUCAUCACAAGGAUGUGCGCUUCGAAUUCUAGUGAUGGUCCUUUUGAAUUUUCCAUUAAAAAGAUAUUAUCAUUUUAUAUAUGACUAAACAUGGCAUGAGACACUAUCCAAACAGAAAUAGUGCUUCAACAAUAGCAACAUCUUAAUAAUGCAAUCAGACACAAAUCAACGCAACAAACCAUGAAGUGUUGCAACCAUUUAAACAAACAUGUUCACAUAAUAGACUCAUCGUAAUAUAUAUAGCACAACAUCAAUUUGUAGUCUUUGGACAGAGAAAUUAAUUUGUAAGUGAUACUCUCAACGUAAUGAUCAAAUAUUAACAAUUAGUUGUAUCAAACAACAGCCUUUCUUUGGACCGACUAUUUUUCACAUGAAAAAACUUUAUAAUUUUUACUUAUUUAUCAUCACAUGUAUGUUAUUAUUUGGCCAAAUUGUAUCUUCUUUUGGGAUGAACACAAUUCGCAUAAAUAAUCUCAUACUCAUCUGUGUAAUCUUAAUCAAUUUCCACAAUAUAGGUUACUUUGACAACAUAUUACAUCAAUUAAUUCAAAAAUAAUUAGCAGACAAAAGGAAAACAAUAUGAGUACAUUAUAAAAAAUUAUGAUCUUGGAAUUAAAAUCUUCAGAUUUGAUAUCUUUUAUGAUUAAUAAAUCUAAUCCAAUAAUAUAAUUUGAAAUAAAAAAAAAGAUAUAUUACUUAUAUAUCAGCGCAUAAAAAGUGGAUGCAAUCUUAAAUACAAAGUAGAUCCACAGUGAAAAAGCAUAAAAAAAUAUAUGCAAAUCAUUAUCAUAAAAAUUACAAAUUGAAUAGAUUAUGCAUAUCUUAAAACAUAUAUGUAAGACUAUAUAUAUAUAUACUUUCACACACUAACAUAAUAAAGUAUAUAUAAUUUUAAGCAUUAACCGUAACCAUUAUAUAUAUUAACUUUAAUCAAUAAUUCCAAACAUCACAACAACCUCAAGCUGGAAACAAUUACAUAUGUAAAUAUGUAUAUUUUAAUUCACAAUAUAAUCAAGGUUAGGAAUUCCAGAUUGUAUAUGUAUAAAAUAAAAACACAUCUUAACACAAAUAUACCUUAUACAUAUAGUUUAACAAAUUGCAAAAUUGUAAAGUGACAAAGUCAAUGUCCAACAGUAAGGCAUUGGUGCACAAACAUAGAUCACCCGUCUCAAACAGUGUCACAAUCCCUGUCCCAAACGAAUCAGAUUGCUACAUUUUAUAACGUUUUGUUUUUAAAUUAUUUCUUUUAUUUGCAUUUCAAUGUGAUUGACUUGGGACAGAGAAUGAGACACCGUUAGGAACAUAUGAUCCUCAUCCUUAAUGCACAUAUAAUAUACAUAUUGCAUAACAGAGUCAUAAAUAUUAAUGCAAUGUUCAUGCAAAAAUCUGAAUAUAUACUUCAACACAUGUUGCAAGGAUUUAUAAUAUAAAUUAAUCAUAAUUCAAAUAAGCGGGAGGGGAUAAAAGUUAUCCUCAUUAUUCCUUAUACCCAAUUUUAUAACCAAUAGCAGAAGCAUAAAAAUCCUCAAAUUUAAAAGUUAGGGUUCAUAGAAAAUUGGGGGAAAUCAACUUUAAUGGAAAACCAUAAAAUUCAGAACCUAGUAGCUCUGAUACCACUUGUUAGAUAUUUCUUGAUGAUUUGUGAAAUAUCAAUCCUAGGAUCUUGAAUAUCCUGAUUCUCACACAUAAUAUAAAACAAGAGUACAAAGUCAUGCCUGAAUUCAUGUUCUCUAGUCUACUCCUUUGAUAUACAUUUUGCAAGAGUUUUGGUAUGAUGACAUUCCUCAACCAAAUCCUCAAUUCAUUUUGGGACCUUCAUUUUCUCUAUGAUGAGGAGAUGUAAAAACUAUUUGUGAUUUGGUGUCUUUGGGACCAUAACCGUUCCUUAUGUGUUAACUUAUAGGGUUCUCAUUAUCCCAUAUAGGCCAACCAUUUGGGUAUCCACUCAUUAAGCCCAUAUUUAUUAUCACUUCUAGAAGUCUUAUGAGUUGUCAGAAAUUAGAUCACUUGUUUUGUAACCCGAAAAUAAAUAGUCAAUAUGAUUGUAUUAAAUAUAUGAUGAUCACAUUAAUUAGAAAUUAUGAAUUUCUAACAAUCUCACACUUGGACUUCAUAUUUUCCUGAAACAAUUAUAUCACAUAUUCUUUAUGCGCCCAUCUGUAUGCUAUUUAUAUUUAGACUUCUCCUUAAUAGAAUCCGAUUCAUCUCAUAUAUCAACUAUGGAACCACCGUGACCUUCAUCACAUUCAAACAUGACUUGACCACGAUGAUCACCAUACCAAUAUACUAAAUGACAUAGAUCAAAUAUGGAUGAGUAACAAGGAAAUUUCAUGCAAUGUGAUUUUAAACAUGUCUAUUUUCAAAUGGUCAUUCUUUAUUCUUUAGUGAGAUCAAUCCAAAGUCCUUAAUUGUAACACAAUAUUUACAAUAUACAAGUUCAAAAUAGAACAAUAAACCAUAAACUUUAUUAUGCAUAAAACUAUAUAUGACGUCCAAAGUAAAUCAUAAAAUAUAUAGACUCCCACUGAACUAAGGUAUCCUAAGGAGCAAUAUUCAUAGGAGCAAUAUGCUCAUGAAAGACUUUAGAUACCAAACCUUUACUCAGUGGACCAGCUAGCAUAAAAUUUGUCCUUAUAUGUUCUAUAUAAAUUUGUCUAUUUUGAAUACUUUCUUUAACAACCAGAAACUUGAUGUCAAUAAAAUUUGACUUUGUAGAACUCCCAUUAUUAUUGGAGUUAAGAACCGCAGACUUAGUGUCACAAUAAAUUCUCGAUGGUCUUUUAAAACCGUCGAACACACAUAAGCCAGUGACAAAAUUUCUGCAACCAUAUGAAAUGGUCUGAUGUUUCAAAACAAACCAUGAACUUCGUAAUCAUGAUUGAAGGAGCUAUGGGCAUCUAUUUAGCAUACUUCCAAGAGAUAACACCUUUAGUAAAGAUAAACAUAUAUCUAGAGGUGGAGCGUUUGAUGUCUAGACACGUAAAAAAUCAGAGUCAGAGUACCCAAUGAUUUCUAAAUUCUCAGACAUCCAAUAAGUUAGCAUGUACUCAUUUGUUCUCUUUAAGUAACGUAUAACACAUUUGACUGCCUUCCAGUGAUACUUUACAUGAUUGUUCAAAUAUCUUUUCAAAACUCCCACGACAAACGCUACGUCAGGACGUGUACAAACUUGAGCAUACAUUAGACUUUCUACUACAGAUGCAUAAGGAAUCUUUUGCCUCUCGUAUCUUUCAAGAUCACUUUUGGGGCACUGUUUGAGACUAAACAUCCUAUUGCAGGUGGUUCCAUAGUUGAUAUAUGAGUUGAACUAGAUUGUAUUAAGGAGAAGUCUAAAUAUAAAUAGCAUACAGAUACACGCCUAAAGAAUAUGUGAUAUAAUUGUUUCAGGAAAAUAUGAAGCCCAAGUGGGAGAUUGUUAGAAAUUCAUAAUUUCUAAUUAAGGUGGUCAUCAUAUAUUUAAUACAAUUAUGUUGACUAUUUAUUUUGGGAUUACAAAAUAAGUGAUCUAAUUUAUGACAACUCAUAUGACUUCUAAAAGUGAUAAUGAAUAUGAGCUUAAUAAAUGAAUACCCAGACGGUUAUGGUCCCAAAGAUACUAAAUCACAAAUAGUUUUCACCUCUCCCCAUCAGAGAGAAAACGAAGGUCCCAUAAGGAAUUAAGGAUUUGGUUGAAGAAUGUCAUCAUACCAAAACUCUCUCAAAAUGUAUAUCAAAGGAGUAGAUCAGAGAACAUGAAUUCAUGUAUGACUUUGUAUCCUUGUUUUAUAUUAUGCGUGAGAAUCAUGAUAUUCAAGAUCCCUAGGAUUGGUAUUUCACCAAUCAUCAAAAAAUAUCUAACAUAUCAAUGUUAUAUAUUAGACUAAGCUCCCUUGUUAUUAUGUGCACCAGAUAUAUAUACCAAAUAAAAGCGCCAAAUAGAAACACUUCAUAUGCACUUGGGCCCAUAGGUGUGUUAGAGCUUGUAAUCCUUAGUCUAUAAUAAUAUCUUGAUAGCCGGUCAAUACUCCCGAGAUGUAAGCACAAUUAGUCGAACCAUGUUACCAAGUUCUCUUAUUUUUCUCUUUUAUUUCUUUUAUGUCAUUUAUUUGAUUACUUGUGGCCAACGUUGCACAACAAUCGCUUCCACUGCGCAACGAUCGCUUCCACUGCACCAACAAUUUUCCACUACAUGGUAUUUACUUUUUUGAUUGAUUAGUUAUUUGUAUAUUGAAAAUGCAAAGUGUCAAGUAUAGCACUAUUAGAUUGCCUAUGUUUUGAUGAAGACAAGGAUUUAGUGAAAGCUUGAAGAUGACUCAACAAAUCAACAUGUCGUGGACUCAAGGGUUUCAUAUAUAGACUAGGUUCCUUAAAAGAGUCAUUAUUAGAGUCUUAGAUAUGUGCCUUAGAUAUUGAGUCUAAGUUAGGUAAACUUAGAUGCAAUUCUCACAAGCCUUAAAAAUAAUCAAUUCAUUUACAUGAGACAUGACAUCUAAAUUAUUAUAUAUUCAUGCAUUAAUCAUACAUGUCACUUGUGCAUCUUAGGCAUAAUAUAUUGAUAAAACAUGUAUAGUUGAUGAGCAUAACAUAUAUGUAGCUUACCAUUUAUUCAUCUAGCUGAAAAAUAUGUCAGUUAAUCGAUUAAGGAAUGUGUUAAUCGAUUAAUGUGAGUUCAGUUUUAACAGAUAACUGAAAACCUGAAAACAGUUAUUCUCAACAACCCAUGAAUUGAUUAAAAGUGCACUUAAUCGAUUAACUAGAUCCCAAAAAUGUUUUCUAUAUAAACUGUGUUUUUAGGUCAUGCACUAUAUACAUCAUAUCAUUCAUUUUUAGAAUUGCUAGUUGCAUAUUUUUCAUGCUUAAUUGUGUCAUAUAGGCAGCGUGAAAUGCAUUGUGAGAUAGUGAGAGAUAAUAUCAUGUUUAGAGUUCAAUUGUCAUCCAAUUGCAUGUGAUUAAUGUGUUAAACUUUGUUAUCUUUUCUUGCAUGAUUCUUGCAUUUCUUUAGAAGAAUUUUAGGGUAGAAAUUCUAUGUUUCUGCAUAUUAAUGAACUCAUACAUAUUCAUGUUAACUUGUGAGUUUUGUAUAGGGUUUUUAGCUGAGUUUCAAUUGUAAUAUUUUGAGCUACAUUGUGCUUAAUAAUACUCUAUUUUUAUACUGUUUCUGUGUUGUAAUAAAGGAAGUCGUCUCUUGGUGUCUUACCACCUAAGAGAUUCAGUGAGUCUUAACCAAAACUUAGAGGUCUUGAGUUUAGAACGCUUUCUUGGCUGGGGCUAGAUCGUAAGAAAUGUUUUCUUAGGCGAUUGGGAUAGUCAAACCAAGAAAGUGGGUUGUUGGAUUCAAGAAGGGAGCGUCUAAGUGUUUGUAUUGGAAGUGUGCAUGUAACAAUACAUUCGUUUCAAUAUUAGUGAAGAAAAUCUCAUGAGAUCAGAAGGGGAGGCCUGGAUGUAGUUUGCAAGUGGACCCGCAAACGAACAAGUAUAAAAUUCCUUGUUGCAGACUUUUUCUAUCCCUAAUCUCUUUACAUUUCAAGUUGUAAUAUUGCCUAUUUUUAGCUGAUAUUUUGGAUACUGUAAAUUUUCUAUAUUGAGUUUAAUUAUGUUCAAAUAUAUAUGUUUUAUCUGUUUUUGAAUAUCGGUGAGUGACUGUGCAAAAAGUCAUUCCGCAACUUGCUGUUUUCUGUGAGUUAAUCGAUUAAGAUAGGGUGUUAAUCGAUUAACUGAGACUUUUUCCAGAAUAAAGCUGCGUGCGAAAAGCGAUAAUUGGUAAUCGCGACACCUAUUCAACAUUCUAGGUGUGUUCUGUUCACUAAUACCUAAUAUAUAUAUAUAUAUAUAUAUAUAUAUAACUAAUUCCUUUAGCUAUGGUGGAGAAAGGAUUUUGGAGUUUUAUUUAUGCUGUGACGAGAUGAAUCAGAUUAGCCUAGGAGUUAAUUAUAUAUGCGUACUAUUAUGGCUGAAGAAAAGAACUUUGAGUUGAUGAUGACUAAAGGACUGUCUCUGCGCAGACACAAUGCACAUUUUCUCAUGACUCAGAUCACAUCAACGGUGAUUGUGUUUUGAUGAACAAGUUGAAAGAGUCUGUAGUUGAGAACGUAAGCUCCAGAUUGAGAGAGGUAAAUAUUUACAAAUGAUCGUAACAUGAUCAUAAGAUCCUAUCAAAGAUUAACAAAAAUAAAUUAUAAACAUUCACAUAGACACAAAAAGGUUUAUGUAUUGUAUCCAAUUGGAUUAAAUUAAUUUCACUACAAAAAUGUAUUAAAUUAAAACUGAAGUCUAUAUUUAAAACAUUAAAAGUAAGUUAUUAAAUAUGCUGAAUUAGGUAACCAACAAAAAAAUAAUCUCAAUUAAGAAAAAAAAUAUAUACGUCACUUUUAAAAACAAAACACUUACAUUUUAAUUAAUAAGAACUACUAGUUACUAUGUCUUUCGUAAACCCAUUAUUUUUAAAAGAAAAGAAAAAACUCAUUAGACUGGAAACACCACUAAACACACAACAUCUCCUUUUUUACUUUAGUGAACACACAGUUUUUUUAUUACCCUGAUUUAUUAAUAAUGAAUCCGGGUAAUAAAAGAUUACAAAUGUGAUGAUUAUAAGAUUACAAAUGUAACGAUUAUAAGAGUAUGAAUAGGAAAGUUGGUGAACUAAGACAAUUCUAGUCUAUGGGAUUUGCCACCCACACCUGAUAAAUCAUAGUCGGCGUGUGCAUUUUUCCAUUGAUCAAUAGUUAUGUCUUAACUUUUUUUAUUGAAUAGAAGGUGUCUGUGAUAGAUUUCAUUUUGGAGUUGAAGAUAACAUUGUUUUUGUUAUCUAAAUGCAUCAAAGUAUUGCUAACCAAAGGAUUUUUCAGUGUUUUCUACAUUUUUGUUGAUUGGUAAACCCAAGGAGGAAAUGGUUAGUUAUGUUAUUGGGAAGUACAAUGUUGAAACAUAGCCAAUUUUAAAUUAACUAUUACUUGUUUCGGUUCGGUUUUUGGUAUAUUUUAGUGACCGAACACAAACACACGGUUCAAUUCCACUCAAUUAACCACAAAUUUAACAUUACAAAAGAACCGAAGCGAACCGCUCUUGAAUGGUUAAGUUCGGUUCCACGGUUUUUCCAAUUACUUUUUUAUAAAAAAAUCUUACAUCACAUAUAUAAUAAUAAUAAAAUGAAUUAUCACAUAUAUAAUAAUAUAAUAAAUAAUUAGUAACAUAUAUAACAAUACAAUUCACAAAUAUUAACAUUAUAUCAAUUAGUAAAAUAUAUUAUAGUUUACAUAUAUAACCUUAUAAUUCAAAAUUAGUAACACACAUAACACAAUACAUGUAUAACAAUAUAUGGUAUAUGUUAGUUUCAAACUUAAUACUAUAAAAAGUAGAAGAUAUAUACCAAAUUAUCAAGACACUGAGAAACAAUUUAAUAAGUAAGAACAUCUAUAAUACUAACAUAAUAUCAAUAGUAAUAUAUAUAACACUACAAUUCACAUAAAAUUGAUAAUUUAAGCCAUAAAAUUGGUUGAAGAAUUUAAAAAACAUUAAAACAUCAUUGUCUAGUAUCUAUUUCUUUAUUAUGUGGUUCGGUUCAAACGGUUCCUAAAUUCCUAAAACCAUAAACCGAACCGAACAUAAAUGGUUUCUUUAAAAAAUAACUGAACCGAUCCGUGACACCGAACCGAACCACAUUUUGCAUUCUGGUUCGGUUUCAUCGGUUUCACGGUCUAAACCGGAACUGCUUACACUCCUAAUUAUAUGGCUAUCCAUAAUAUGCACUACGCAAGUGUUGUCAUUCAACAUCGCUUAUUUAAGAUGUAUAACAGCGCUUUCGAACGCUUUAUGUUUGACUGUAGUAUAAUGUCAUCAUUAACAACGCUUCACAAACGUUGUUCUAUUGAUUAUAUACCACAUUGUAACACACAAAAAGCACUAUUAUAUACUGCAUCAAUACAACAUUGCAUCAUCCACAAAGCGCUGUCAUAUAGGUCUUACAUAAACAACGCAUUUUAUAGGUCUUAUUAAUAGCACUUUGUGGACGAUGCACUGUUGAAGUUCAUAUAUUUAACAGCGCAAUAACAGAAAAGCGUUGUUGUAUUAUUCAUAAAAUUUCUCAAGCAACACCUUAAUACAACAGCGCAUCACACGCAUAGCGUUGUUGUAUUAAUAAUGUACAACAUCGCUUUCUAUAAAAAGCAAUGUUGUAGUUAUCCUUUUCAACAACUCAUGUCAGGGCUUCCCCUAGAAUUCGCGGUUGAUUUGUAUAAAUUAAUACAUGCAUAUAUAUUUAUUAGCAGAACAAACAUUCUCAACAGCACAAACAUUUAUACAUUCUAAACAACAUAGACACAUUAAUACACGCCAAAAGUUUGUUUUAUUAACAUCAAUACAAUACAAAAUAUAAACAAUGAAUAUCAUGUCAAUUAUGUUUUGACAGGAAUACAUAAUUACAAAUAAAAAAAUUACACAAAUUACAAAGAAACAAUAUUAUACAAAUUACUAACAAUCAAAAUUAAGCUAUAAUUAUACAAACACUACUUGCAUCUACUUUUUCCUUUUCUUUGAUUGUUUUUGUCUUGUAGGGUAAUCCUUGUUUGGAGGAGCAUAUUGAUUUACCCAAAGCCCUUCAUCGUGAUCAUCUCUGGUAUAUAAAUCAUCAUCCGUAGUUGGUCCACUCUCACGCGACUGACAUAUCCCCAAAAAGGAUCAUCUUCAUCAAUAUCUUCAUAUUCUUGGUCAUCAAUAUUAUUCACAAUUAUUUUGUUAGUUAAAAGAACAAUGGAUCAUUUCUUAUCAGUUAGGUCACUAACAUAGAUUAUUUGUUGAGCUUGUGAUGCUAGAAUAAAUGGUUCAUCUUUAUAUCCUGACCUAUUAAGAUCCACCUACAUGAACCCUAACUCAUCAACUCGGAAGCCAUUAUUUUUAUCAACCCACGUACAAUAGAAAAUCGGCAUCCGAAACAUUGUGUAAUCCAAUUCACAUAUUCGUUAAAUAACUCAAAGUAUGACAUGUUCACAUAUAUUUGGUUUCUAUCUUUUGCACUUGACAUGUGUAAAGUUCGAGCUACAAGAGUUACAUCACUAUUUUGCAUUUUACUUUGAUAAUCUUGUUUUUCGUAUAAAAUAUGAACCCAUUAAUUAUGUAAUCAGUGUAGGAUAAGACAUGAAUGCUUGGACCAUUGGGCAACCAUUUCAAUCUUUCGGAAAUCGAAUGUGCAUUUAACUUUUUCCUUAUUAGCAUCUCCUUGUGAAUAAACACCGAUUAUGAUAUUUGGAAAUCCAAUUCUCAUUCUUACUUGGGUAAGACUUCCUUAGCAUCUCCUUGUGUGUUUCAACAUAUGGUUCAACCUCAUCGGCAUUAUGUAAAACAUAUAAGUGUGUUUGCUCCAAUUCGGUUCUUGUUAUAGUCAAUAUUUCCUUCCCAUUAAUACCUUCAUCAAAUGAAUUUUUUGCAUAUCGAGGCUUUGGAAUGCCCAUGAAAUCACCAUUGGUAAGGUAUUCAAUACAAAAAUCAAGAGCUUCUUCAACAACAUACCGCUCGACAAUACAACCCUCUAGUAUUGAUCGGUUCUUCACAUGCCCUUUUAAUGUCUUCAUAUAAUGCUCAAAGCGGUACAUCCAUCUCAUAUAUAAAGGGUCACAUAGUUGUGUCUCUCGAACAAGAUGAAUGCUUAGAAGAACCAUUUUAUAAAAUAAAAAAAGGUGGGAAAUAAAUUCCAAGCUCACGCAAAGUCAAAAUAAUUUGUAUUUGCAAUGUAGGUAAUUUAUCAGGGUCAAUCACUUUGCAACAAAUUGCCUUGAAGAAGAAGCAUAACCUAGUUAUGGUUCCUCAAACUUUUUUAGGUAGAAUUGACCGUAUUCCAAUAUGCAAGAAAUGUUCCAUAAGUACAUGACAAUCAUGAGACUUAAGACCUUUUAACUUGGGGUCUUUCAUUGAUAUGAGGUUCUUAAUGUUGAAAGAGUACCCCUCUGGAACUUUAACACCAUGCAUAAAUUUACAAAAUUCCAUUUUCUCCUUCCUCGACAAAGUAUAAGCUGCUGAGGUAGAAAUGUACGUUUUCCCUUCAUUAUCGGCCUCAAUUCUUUUCUUAUUCUCAUACUAACCAAGUCAAACCUUGUAUUCAAGUCAUCUUUGGUCUUACUAGGGACAUUGAGUAAGGUACCAAGGAAACUUUCAAACACAUUUUUUCAAUAUGCAUAACAUCGAGGAAACUUCUUGCAUAUAAUGAACUCCAAUAUGACAAUUCAAAGAAGAUUGACCUUUUCUUCCAUCCACUUGUGACAAUUUCUUUUGCAAAAGGUUUACCAAAGUUAGUAUUCAAACACUUUAGCUUUUGAAAUAAUUGGUCAUCUGUUAACGACAAAGGAGCACGACCUUCUUCAUUAUUUCCAUCAAAUGCUUUUCACCAUCGUCGAUAGUGAUGAUCUGAGGGCAAAAAUCUACGAUGGCCAAGGAAGACAUUCUUCUUAUAGUUUUCCAACCUCAUUGAAUGAGUAUUGUCUUCACAUACAAGACAUGUAAAAUGUCCUUUUGUACUAUAUCUAGAUAGAUUACCAUAUGCAAGGAAAUCAUUGAUUGUGCCGAACAACAAAGUCCUCAAGUUGAAGCUUUCUUCCCUAUACACAUCAUAUACAUUUAUGCAUGUCGCCCACAUUUGAUUCAAGUCUUCAAUUAAUGGAGCCAAAUAUAUGUCUAUGUCAUUUCCUGGUUGUUUAGGUCCAGAAAUUAACAUAGAUAACAUCACAUAUUUGUGCUUCUUGCAUAGAGAAGGAGGUAGGUUGUAUAUCACCAACAUCACUGGUCAUGUAUCGUGGGAGCAACUUUGAACACUAUGUGGGUUAAUUGCAUUUGUUGACAAUGUCAGACGUAGAUUUUUUGAUUCUUAACCAAAACUAGGAUAAUCAUGAUCAAUUUUUCUCCAUUGAGGCGAAUCUGUAGAAUGUCGAAGCUUGCCAUCUUUCAUCCUUUCUUAACCAUGUCAUGUCAACUUCUUUCCAUAUUUGGCAAUGCAAAACAUACGCUUGAAUCUUGCUUUGAUGGGAAGAUAGCAUACAACCUUUUUGGGAAUUGAGUAUUCUUUCUUAUAUAUUGAUGCAUUACAUUUGGGACAAAACUUUAAUGAUUUCACUCCUUCUUCAUACUCCAUCGUCAAUCGAUUGGCACUCAUCCAUUUUCGAUCCAUUUUCUAUUAACACAAAAAUAUAAUUAUUAUGUAAUUAAAGCUUGGAGUUAAGCUCACCAAGUAGAGCAAAUGCAUUAUUAUGUAAUUAAAAAUGGGGGAACCCUAACUCAUAAUGUAAGCUAAAUGAGUCGGAACUCGGAAACCCCAACUCAAUACAAGCUAAAUGAGUGAAAUCAUUCAAUAUAAGUUAAAUACAAUGUAAUUAAAAAAACAAAUAAUUAUACGAAAAACUCAUUUGCAAUUCGGUGUUGAAUGCAUGAAUGAUGAUUUUGAGGUUCAACGAGUGAAAAAAUAUCGAAAUUGGUGUUGAAUGAUUUUCGUAUUGAAUGAGUGAAUGAUUUUUGGUGUUGAAUGAGUGCAUGAUGACGAGGUUGAAUGUUUUCGAGGUCGAUUUUGAGAGUAAAUGUGUUCCGCUGCUGCGUAAAUGAGUGUUGGGAUUACUGAUGAAUGUGUGAGAAUACGGGAACAUUUUAUUUUUUUUAGGGUCUGAUAGUAUCUUCAACAACGCAUAAUGAAGAUGGUGCUGUCAAUAAUACAUAAUCAACACCGCAUAGUGAAGAUGGUAUUGUCAAUGAUACCUAAUCAACAACGCAAUCUUAAGGAAACACUGCGGAAGAACUCCCCAUUCAAAUAUAAAGAAUGAAAGUAUUCCACAGCGCAAUCUUUAGGAAACAUUGUGAAAUAUAUAAUAAUUUUUUUACGAAUUCAUUUUUUUUAAUGAAAUUCAAAUUAGUAAUUACAUUAUGACAUUUAAUUAAUGACAAUUAAUUAAAUAUAUAGAACAAUUAAUAAGACAAUAAAUAACAUUCAAACAAUUAAUCAAGUAAGCACUAAGUUAAGCGAUUAAGUGCAUAUGAAAUAGUUUUGUUGAUCAUAUCGAUAGUGCUUCUUACCGAAUGCGCUGUUGUAUAGCUAAAAGAGAAUAAAUGCGAGAUAACUAUUCAACAACGUUUUUUUAUGAAUGUGUUAUUGAAUUCAACGUAAUCAACAAUGUUUUUUUUGUGUGAAUACAUUGUUGCAUUCAACGUAAUCAACAGUGCAUUGUUAAAAAAACGUUGUUGUAUAGGUAUAACAACAGUGCAUUCAUAAAAAAAGUGAUGUCGAAGACAAUUAUUCCUAAUUCUACACAGUUACGCAUACAACAUAAAAUAACCUGAAUACGUAGAGAAACAGAACAUAACAGCAAAAUGAAUGUAUAUGGAAACACCAAAUGACAACUAUAUGAACACAACUGAAUUUCAACUGAAUUUAUAUAUUGAACAAUAAUUACAUUGUAAUGUUUAUAUAAACAUAUAUUACAUAGACCAAAUCAUGUAUAUUAGAUUGAACAUUAAUUGAAUUCUCUAAGCUACAAUCUUUGCAAAACUAAUCUACUAUACAUUUAGCUAUGAUUUGUCAACAUAACUAAGUAUAAAGUUUGACAAUUGUUCUCUAAUAUGGUUGACUUCGUCAUCCGUAUAUGAUUUGCCAACAAUCUUGAUUUAAUUAGUUGGCUAUUGUUGAAUGAUCUCCUUCAUGAAUUUCAGCAUGUAAUAGUCGUAUUCUACCUAGUUUGUUUGACAAGGGGUCUACAAUUAAAAUCAAGUAAACAUAUAAGUAUAAGCUUAGUUGAAAUAUGAAUACAUAACAUAUAUAAUUGUUUGAGAUGAUUUGUGUCAAUACCUUUAUAUGAGUCCACUUGAUUUUGUGAUUUGGUAACUUGUUUCUAGCAUGAUUAUAGCUUCUGUAAACUCUCAUCGCACUAAACAAUAUAAAAUGUACUUAAUUACUAAACAUAUAGGAAAGUGAAAGUGUAACUAAAAGUUUAAAUGAGUAGUCCACUUACCUAGAAAACAAAUCUUUCAUAGCAUGGUACUUGUUCAGAUCACCAUGUGUUAAUGAGUCAAAAUAGUAUAUUUCUUCAUUGAUCUGAUUGAUGGCAACCAAAACCCAAUGUUGCCUAACAAAACAUAUGUACAUGCUUAGGAAAUGUAAAGCACAACAAACAUACUAAAGAAAUAAAUAUAAAAGACAAUUAAAAAACGCUCACCCGAUAUUAAAAGGUGCAAGAAAUAAAACUGCAUCUUCUUUAUGAAGGAUGAGAUUAUCUGUAAUUCGUUCUCUCUCUUCCAUAAUCUUAUUUUUAUCUCUCGACACCAAAGCGGUAAGGUAUGGGAUAUGAACAUCAUAUUUUUCUUAUUUACCGAAAUAAAAUUUUCAUACAAGUACCUAAUAAUAUAACACAAAUGUUAGUUAAGUAUAACACACCGCCACGCAAAAGUGAGAAGUUAAGAAAACAUAAUUUGCCUCAUAUAUAUACAUACAACAGUUGUACCUAUACAAUCAUGUUUAUAUACAUCCUAGACUUCAUUAAUGCCAACGUAUUCAUCAAUAUUAUCCCUGAAGACUUCCUUGAGAAUUGAUAUAAUUAUUAUACCAUCUCCCAACUUCUGUAUAUGCUCCAACAGUUGAGUACAGUAUUUGGUAGUCUUCUUGGAGCUCACAUAUUUAGUAGAUGGCUUUGAGCUCACAUCCCCGAAGGUGACUUAGUCUUUUACGUGUUACUGGGGUGAAAUGUACAUUUUCCUGAAAUAAUCAAUAAAAACUUAUCAAUUAUAGAUCAAUAUAUAUAUAUAUAUAUAUAUAUAUAAUAUGAGUGAGCAUAAGGUAAAAAAUCAUACCUUAGAAGGACUUACUUGAACAAGGUCUACUAGCCAAGCCACAAAAGUGUCUAUAGCCCAUCCAACUGUGAAGAUAUCCUCAUCGAGAAGAAAUGACAGCAACGCAUCAUCAUCAACUAACUGCAAUGUCAAUCGAGACCUUCACAUGAUGGAAUGGAAUACGUGCAUUAUGCAGCAUAGCAUCGGUCGACUUGUGCACUUUCCCAACACCCACUACUCGGCUAGUUGGGGUAUCCAGAAAUAGUUUGUAAGAAUUAAUUUCUUGUACGUAAGUUAAAACAUAUAAUUAGUUAUCGACUAAAUUAAAAUAAAUUAACUAAAUAAAAAUAAGUUAACUAAAUUACCUCAAAAAUGGGAAUCAUAAUAUGAAUGUUGUAAGGUGCAGGUCUGCAACUCUCAUUGACGGUUGAAGGAACAGUACCAACAACACUAGAUAGUCGUUGCCACUCAGCUUCCUUCACCUUCAUUGAUUGCUCAAAUUCAUUGAACCGUUGCAUGGGGUCAUCUACUUGAUUUUGAACCUGACUCAUUUAGCUUUUGGUUACAAGCUUUGGAUGGGGUACAAAUCGUUGGCUGACCCCAAAUCCUGCACUUCGGAUACGGCCAGGGUAGAUAGGCAAUCCUAGUGCCUUGUCAAGUAUUAUGAGACUGUCCGGGUUUGCUUCCUUUUCUUUUAGGGCAACCUGACAAAUCAAGAAAAAACAUAAUGUUAAUUAAUCACAUUUUGUUAAAUAAAGUAUGGAAAUUAAGCAUAAUUAAAAAAUGAGCACUUACAACACAUCUUGCCGCUUCUUGAACUUCCUCAUCAUCGAUGACACCAUCCUUGUUCUUACGAGCAUCCCACCAUAGAACAUCGAGUUCCACUCCAUGUGGAGUCAUAGGUGUAUCACUUUUGUUCUCCAACUAAUAAAACAAGACCAAUAAUAAUGUAAUUAGAUAUAUAUAUAUAUAUAUAUAUAUAUAUGCAUACAAAAUAUAACCAAUAAUGUAUUUAUAAAUUAACAAUACUUACAAUUUUUUUCUCGGAUCCUCUAUACCCCGCUCGAGAAGCUCGGUAUGGAUAUAAAGGCUUGGAUGCCCUAUUGCGGUUUUCAUUACUUAAUUUCUGAAAUAAUAAACAACAUUAUUAUCAACAAUCAUAUACUAAAGCAUAUAUACAAAAGUCAAUACAAAGAAUAUGAUUUUACCAAGAAAGAUUUAUGUGCAUAGGGUGACAAAAGUCUUUCAAUCCUCUUCAUCAACGAUAUUUGUAUAUUUAGUUGGUGGUUUUAGGUUGACAUUGCCAUCAGCAUCUCUGAGUAAUUUUCCGGCAUAAAUUUGGAAUUGUCAGAGAGGCUUGCUAGUCGAUUUAAGAAUAUAAUCCUUAUGCUCCUCACCAACAUCAAAAGUUGGCUGAAAUAAAAACAUGUAUACAUUAUAUAUUGCAUGAAAACACAUGCAUAUACGUAUGGUGCAUGAAAACGUAACACAUAUACGUACAUUGCAUGAAAAUGUAACACAUAUACGUACAUUGCAUGAAAACACAGAAACUGAAAAAUAAACCUACUGUUAUUUCAUUCCAAAUACGCUCAUUCACGGUAUUCCUUACAUCACUCCAUUUAUUAAAUGUUAACUUCACAUUCUGUCUAACAACAACACUAAUGUAGCUUACCAAUAUGUUGUCGCCCUUCAAGUUUAAUGGUUGACCUUUAGAGUUUCAUUGAACUUCUAUCUUCACAUCCUUACUUCUUGACCAAAUGACAUUCUUCAUAGAAGUCAUUCCACGUGGAGUUCGUUUUUUAGCAACGAUUUGCUUGUCUUGUAGAGUCGGUGUAGCUUCGUCACCACUGUGAGAACCAUGAUUGCCACUUUGAGAAGCUAUUGAUGAAGUUUUUUGAGGUUUCUGAGAGUAUGAGAGUUUAUGAGAGUAUGAGAGUUUGUUGAGAGUAUGGGGAUUUCUUUUCGAUUAAGUUUGAGAGCAUAGAGGGAACGAUUCAUGUUUUAGAUAUUUAAAUUGCAUUAACAAUUUAACAGCGCAUAUUAACAAUAGUGUUGUUGAAUUGACAUCUUCAACAGCGGCUAUUAAAGAUUGUGUUGUUAUUGUAUUAACAAUCCAACAACGCAUAUUAACAGUAGCGUUGUUGUAUUGACAUCUUCAAUAGUGCAUAUUAAGGAUUGCGUUGUUGUUGUAUAUUCAGUUAUUUACUACUCAUUUUCAUGAACACGUCAAUAGCGCUACCUAGAUGUAACGUUGUUGAAUAAAAUCUAAUUGGCAGCGCAAUCGUUAUAUGCGCUGUUAAACUGAACUCAUUUUCCAAAUUAAUAGCGUAUUCGUAAUUAUCCGAUGUUCAAUUAACAUUUUACAUAACAGGAAAAUAUAUAUACAACAUGAAUUUACGUUAAUUAACAUGAAGUUGUCAGGAAGUAGAUUACUAUAUAAUUGUGUUUAUUAAUACGAAACUGGAAAAAUAUUAAACAUUACGUUUUGUUAAUUUGUUUUUGUAUUUAUUAAGUAUUGUUAAUUUCUUUUAUUGUGUUUAUUAAUAUGGAACAACAAAAGUAUUAAAGAAAAUAAUCAUUCAAAUAAUUAACAAAAAAAAUAUAAAUUAACAUCCAUAAUAAUUAUUUUAUUAUUAAUUCAGAUAGGCAAAAUACAUUAUAAUGAACUAAAUGAUUUGGUACAUGCGAAUAUAAUAAAUUAAAUGAUUUGGUAGAUCAAGAAUACAAUGAAAAAGAAACAAAUCUUCUCCAUAAUUUAUUUUCUCAACUCCUCUACACAAAUUUUAUAUAACAGUUCAUUGAUUUCCUUUUAAAAUCAAGGAUCUUUUGGAAAAUCAAAAGAUUUUAAAGACCUCAUUGACAAGAUUUCAAUGAAGGAAAUAAUUUUUUCCUCGACUCCUCUAUACAAAUAUUCAUCUCACACAAAUCUUGUAUAACAAUCACUUUCCUUCUGAAAUCUAAGCCCUUUUUGAAAAUCAAAAGAUUUCAAUGAGGGAAAUAAAUAAAUUGAAAUAGCUCAAUGAACUAAAUAAUUUACAAAUUAAAUCUUCAUCUAACACAAAUCUUGUAUAACAAUCAUUUUCCUUCUGAAAUAUGGGUCAUUUUGCCAAAUCAAAAAAUGUUAAAGACCUGCUUGACUUGAUUCUGAAACAGAAACACAGUUUUAGAACUUUUAACAUUUUGAACAUACUCCUAUAGAAACACAUACUCUUACUUAUGAAAUAUAACAUGAAGUGAACCACAAUAUUUAUAGAUGAGCAACCAUUAAUAUUUCAACAAACAAAGAGACGCAUAACCACUCAACCAUUAAUAUUUCAACAAACGAAGAGACGCAUAACUACUCAACCAUUAAUUUCUCUGACACUUAAAAUGUCGUAUAAAAUCAACAACGCAUAAUUAAGAAAGUGUUAUUACUAUAUAAUCUUCAAUCGCGCUUUCUUAAUUAUGCGUUGUAAAAUUUAUUAACAUUAACAACGCUUUCUAUCAAAUACGCUAUUAUAAUGUUCAACAGUGAUGUGUCAAGAAUGCGUUGUUGAAGUUACACAAAUUAACAGUACGUGCUUUAGUAUGCAGUGUCAAUGUUCUUCCGCCUCAUUUUCAACAACGUCGUUCAAAAUUGUAUUCCUAUAACAUUCAUACCAUAUGUACCCCCUGUUUUCCUAAGGUGGCUCUGAUACCACACUGGCCGGGAGCCUCCUAUCAUGAUAACACACCUAUAAGGUUCACCAACCGAGACUUCGGUGAGCCAACUGUUGGCUUCUAUUUGUCUCAAGGUUCGACUACUCUUAUAUAACAUGUUACCACAAUAGGUAGGACCGUAUCAUGGAUCUAAAAUCAGAUGUCUUUUCUGAUGCACAAGAUCCUCAUAGAGGCAAGUGCAGAGCAUACUAACAUCUCUGUAGAGGGUUAUGGUAUAAACAUUAUAGCUUUGGCUUUCAGAAAGAUAGAAAGCUUAGAAGGAAGACAUGGAUAUGAAAAACACAAGUUUUAUUUCAUUCUUGUUCUGAGUACAAUGUGGUCUAAGCAUUCCUAUUUAUAGAAGGAAGCAGACAUCUAUCUCUAUCACAAGAAUCGUACAGCUCACCAAACCUUAUCUUACAAUAUCACACCAUACUAUUCCCUAGCUUACAACUCAUCACACCUUAUCUUACAUGAUAAUAUAUCUGACAUUACAUUUUAUUUUAUUUUACAACUCAUCACACUUUGUCCUAUAUGACACCACGUUUUAUGCUUACUUUGGAUGAUUUCGGGAAGAUUCCUUCUUAUCUUGAAUUCUGACUUGGAGAGAGAUUAUAGUAAUGCCAUUCUUUAGAGUUUACACUUCCAUACAUAGUGUACCACCAUGGGGUUCUUGUCUCUUCAUAAGUGACUUUAUAUACCAGCAUUAUAUCCAUUAUCUCAGCAUUUAUGUCUUGGGCAUCUUGGUCCAUGUCUUGGUCCACCGGUUCCAUUAUUGAGUCUGUAUUUGUAGAUUGGUUGAUCCCGAAUUCAUUUUUUCUGGAGGAACUUGCUUCACCCACUCUUUGGUAGAACGAGUUAUUUACUUGUAUUAAUCCUUUGCCCCUCACGAGGUUAGUAAGGUUAUCACAAUGGCUAAUGCAAGUGCUUGUAGAACUAUUUGGCACAUAUUCAUCAAACUUUACUUGACUUAAAUGCUUUUCAAGUUCUUUUCUAUAAUUUUCCACCAACGGGUAUGUGUCAAAGGUAUCCCAGACAUAGGCUUGAUUCCUNNNNNNNNNNNNNNNNNNNNNNNNNNNNNNNNNNNNNNNNNNNNNNNNNNNNNNNNNNNNNNNNNNNNNNNNNNNNNNNNNNNNNNNNNNNNNNNNNNNNUAGAUCCUCUGAAAGGAUAUAUCUACGGUGAGGAUUGAUUGAGAUGGCAUUAUUGAAAGGAACCUCUGGAUGGAAAAUAUUUUCUUGAAAACUAUCCUUGCAACCUCUAAGGGCUUUAUGCAAAAAAUAAUGAAGGCGAUUCUUUGCAUACUCUUUAAGUUUUCCAAGUGAAAAGGACAAAUCUACUUCUGGAGGGAGGUCUUUGGUUGUAGAGGCAUAUUCUGGUAAAGAAUUGACCAUUAGGAUUAGUGGAAAAAUAUUGACAGUGGUCAUGAGGUUGAUGGGUUUGUUUGGUCUACAGAGGAAAUCUGGGACUAAAUUUUGGUUUCCUUUAAUUUGUUUAAUAGUAAAAUCAUAUCUAGAAAACCAACUUUUCAACCUGAGUAUUUGAGGAUCAUGUGGCAUCUUGUUUUUGAAUUCUAGAAUCUUGGGGAAAGAGGAGUUGUCCAUUUGUACUUCAAAUGUAUGGCCUCUAAGAUAAAAAUCAAAUUUCUAGAUCCCGUACUUGACAGUAAGAACCUCUUUAUAGGUAGUUUGAUAAUGUUUUUCUGCAUCCUUGAAUUGGCCACUAGCAUGCCCACAAUAGUAUCUUCUCUCCUUUACUUCUUCAAUCAAGUCUGCCCCCUAGAAAUGAUCACUUGCAUCGGUUUGUAGGAUUCGUUUGUCGGAGGUUGGGAUUUUAAGUGCUGGAGGAUUUUGAGCAAUCUUCUUUAGUUCCUUAACCGCCUCGGUUUGUUGUGAGCUCCACGGAGCAGCAUUCUUCUUUUGCAUCUUGGAGAGUUGGCUUGUCCAUUUUGCCGCAUUGGGGAUAAAAUCCCAAACAUAAUUGAGAAUUCCAAGGAACUGUUGCAUUUGCUUAGUCGAGAGAUUUUCAUCAGGAAAAUUUAGCAGUUCUUGUGCAAUAUGUGGUUGAGGCUGGUAACUUCCAUUGGAAAAAUGCAUUCCCAAGAAGUCAAUUUCAGUUUGUCCCAAUUGAAUCUUCCUUUCGGAUAACAUUAUUCCAUGUUGUUGGGCAAGGCUGAAAAAUUGAUCUAAUAAAUUUUUGUGGAGGACUUGUCCUUCGAGAACAGAAGAACAUCAUCAAUGUAGAUUAAGAUGCUAUCUAGGAUAGGCUCAAAGAUCCUGGUCAUUGCCUUUUGGAAGAGAGAGGGGGCAACCUUUAACCCAAAAGGUAGGACUGUCCAUUGGUAUUGUGUAUUUGGGAUGCAGAAUGUAGUCUUGUGGCGAUCAGCAGGGUCUAAUCCAAGUUGCCAAAACCCAGAUUUAAGAUCAAAUUUUGAGUAUAUCUUGGCGUCCCUAAUCAACACAUGUUGGGAAGAUGCUUUAGGGAUCGGAAAAUUGUCAUCCUUGAGGAAGUGAUUGAACGGCCGAUAGUCAAUUACUAGCCUUUUUUUUCCUCUUAUUUUUUCAGAUCUCUUAUCAACAUAGAAGGCUUGGCAUGCCCACUCAGACUUUGUGGGCUCGAUCAGACCUUGAUUUAUCAGUUGGGCACACUCUUGUUUAGCCUCAAGGAGGUCGGGAGGACUCAUCCAUGGGUGUGUUGCUUUUGUAGGAUUGAUAUCUUCAUUCAGCUUGAACGGAAGCUGCACAAAGAAGUCUGGAUUUUUCGAGAGGGGUUUCGGAUGGUUGAAUUAUUCAUGGUUGUCUGCACAUAAGGAUAUGAGCUUGUCUCUUAUAUCUUUGAAUUCGCCAGGGGCUUCUGAGAGAGUGUAGAGUUUGCUAAUCUCAGAAUAUGGCUUAAAUUCUCUUUUGUAUUUGAUACCCGAAGGAAGGAUUUGGAGUCUUCCUGCCAUAGCAUAUACAUCCAUGCCUAUUAAUAUGUCUUUGUUAGGAAGGUUGCUUCCAAUGACUUUUGUCCAUAUGGUGCAGUCAGGGAAAAACCUAAUCCCUAUGGGAGCUUUUGACACAANNNNNNNNNNNNNNNNNNNNNNNNNNNNNNNNNNNNNNNNNNNNNNNNNNNNNNNNNNNNNNNNNNNNNNNNNNNNNNNNNNNNNNNNNNNNNNNNNNNNUCCGAAGUUAGGCUGGCUUCAGAAGAGGAAUCCUGAAGGGCAAAGAUAGUUUCAUCAUCUGCAGAACUCUGUUCUGAGUAGAGUGAUUCUAUGUCCCCUUCUAGAGGUUCUAAGGAAUUAAUGAGUUUGGCGGCCUUAGCAGUUUUGUUUGGACAAGUUUUUGAAAGAAAAUGCCCUCUCUGUCCACAGAUGAAACACCUCUGACCACUCUUCUUCCCACUAUUCCCUUUCCUCCGAAAGAACUUCAAGGGCUUCUUUCUUCGUCGGGGAAUUCUCUCAAACUUUUGUUUGUGAAACUUCUUCUUUGUGGAGCAAGUGCAACUCUUCUCUUUACAUUGGAUUUCCAAGUAUGGUUUUGUGCAUGCCUUAGUGAAUUUGGACUUUUGUUUCAAUAUGUUAGAGAAGAAUUGGUGUUACUUGCAAAGUUUGUCAAGAGCUUCUAAUGUUAACUGGUGAAUUUGCCCUAGAGUUAGGGCACUGAAGUCUUUCUGUGAAGCGGCAACCAUCCUAUGAAGUUCGGGUUGGAGUUCUUGUGGGAGAGAAGCUACAUAAGUAUUUUUCAAACUGUUGUCAUUUUAGCCAUUUAACAAGUAGAAUCGUUGCGACAUUCUCUGGAAAUGCUUCUCCAGAUUUUUUACCUUUAGUGAGCAACAUUUCAUUUCAAAGAACUCAUGUCUCAUCUUUUUAUCGAAGAUGCUCAUAUCUCCGAUAAACUCUUGGUGGAUCGCCCUUAGAACUUCAGCAGUAUUGUGCAAUCUAUGGAAUUGGUCUUGCCUAACUUGUCCAAGAUUAUGGUACCACUCUUUCAAGGUACCGGUCAUUCUGCAACCAAACUCCUCUAUGACUCUGUAAGAGUCUGCAUCAUCUUUCAUCAUUUUAGUGUCUAGCCAUGCUCCAAAGUCAAGGAGUCUCUUUCUCCAUUUGCUUGGAGGCAAAUCAUCAAAGGUGAAUUAGGGUCCUCCAUUUGAAUUGGAAUUGGUAUUCCUUUUUGGAGACGAAAUCACUUCUUCCUCUGGGGAUUCAUAGAAUGCAUCAGUUUGUACUCUCGAUGUAGAAGUGUUGACCAUGAGCAUAUCUGUGAUAUUGGUCAUCUCCAUUUCAGAAUCAGAACUAGGAAGAAAUUCUGUCUCUAGAUCACUUGACUUCUCAGCUUCUGAACUUUGAGGUGACAACCUUUGUCAUGUCUCCCUUUUCAAAGAUUUUUCCAUGGAGGCCAUCGCCUGGAAAGGUUGUUCUCUUGUAGGAGAAUCUUUAUGAAAAGACUCUCCCUGGGUUGUUCCUCUUUUCUGCGGAGGUUCAGGAUGGGGCAGUGAGUCUGAGGAGGAACUACUGAUCUUGGAUAUUUUUUCUGUACGCACAUGCGUCCUUUGGGACUUUGGUCUAUAGGCAAUUGGGAAAAUUUAUGGUGGAUUAUUGUAUGAGGUUGUUGGAAAGAAAGAUGUAGCCUUAAUGGUGGGAGUGUAGUAUGUUGGGAAAGCAGGAAUGUUGAGAAAUGGAUGAGUUUCAGAUUCUUUGCUCUGAGCUGUCGUGUAGGCAUUGAUAUAAUUGUCCAUAUCUCUUACCUGAGAGCGAAGGUGUCUGAUUUCUCUUUCUUUUAGAUCAAAAUCUUCGCCAAAACAUGUUCUAGCCUCUAACAUCUCUCUCAUCUCACCCUCAAGCUGGGUGAUUUGUGAUUGAAGAGUCUUGUAAUACUUCUGCAUCUUGGAUGACAAGUAUUGGAGCUUUUGGUCAGUUUGUUCAAUGCUAUUAGUUAUUCUGCUCACUCUUGCAUCAAGAUUCUUCAAAAUAGAGUUUUGAGCCUUGGCAUUUUCAGUUUGCCAAUUAAGUACUUCUUCAGCUUGGCUCAGAGGCUUAGGCUUUCCAUCGGCUUGGACUUCAGUUGGUUGAAUAAAAGGUUUUGUAGAGAGUUUCGAGACUGGGUCUGUCCUUCUCUCAAGGGAAGGAAACUCUCUAUCAUAUUGAGGGGAUGAAGAAGAAAACAUCAUGCAUGGAAUGGGUUGAGGAACAGCAGUCAGCGACCGUGGCUUACAUGUCUGAUAUGCAUCCUUUGGGGACCAUGAGAUCAGAGUAGGGUCAUUAGGUGGAUGUGGCACAGGAGCGAACCCUUCUUCCCUGAGUAUCUUAAGCCAUUCCUCGUAUAUAGAAAGGGGCUUUCUAUUCUUGUGGAUUCCCACCCAGGGGCCAUUUUCUGGGUCAGAUCUUCUUCUUGGAGAAAGAGGAGGCUUGUAGCGAGACCUGUUCUUCCUUCUCUUCUCCGUUUCCUCAUCGCUAGUGUCAUCAUAGUGCAUCGAACAUUCACAUCCGGGGUCACACAUAUCUGGAUUAACGUCCCAGAUAAAAUGUCCACCUAUCUUAUCUGUAUAGGUGGGGUCUCAUUUAGAAGUGAAACUAUAGACAGGACACCAAUCUUCUCCACCAGCGGGUGUGAUCAUUAAAGAUUGGAAGACGGAUGGAGUGUUGUUGCUGGGCCUUUCAUCAGGCUUCUUAAAUAUGGUCCUUACAGAUCCGUCGACAUAUCUUCUGAAUGUCGCUUCAAAAGAUUGGACUGGCUUUCUUUCGGAAUGAAGUCUUUCAUAGUUAGUUAUCCAUUCAAAAGGAAUCAACUUGUGCAAUUCUUCACGAGGAAUAUUCCUCGGGACUUGGACAAUUAAUGGGGUUUCUUCAUCACCAUUGGCUACGACAAAUAAAGCAUUUGUCGCACAUGCAGGUAAAGGUAGGUCUAUAGAAUGGUUUUGGAGUCUAUAGAUUAUUUGGUGGUGCAAGGUUGUAGACAAAGCCUCUGGAACUUGAUCUGCUCCUAUGAGUUGGACUUGGACCUUUAGUUUGGUAGACAAAGUGGGGUCUCUCAAACUAACAUUGAAGUUUGGGAAAAUGGUUAACACAACACUCCCAGCAUUUAGAGUCGUGAGAACAGUGUCGAUCACAGCAUUUUCAUAGUGAAUGUAGCUCGAGUCUAACAAGGCAAUCCUUGCUGUGACAGGGAGACCCUUCCUUCCAUGUAAUGAAAUGAUAAGUCUGACAGCUCCAAAGUGAAGGGUAGUAUAUCCUUCCGUUUUCCAGUGAUUUAUAAGGGUGGUAGGAAUUUCCAAGUCUACAUAUUGUUCUCGACUUGUAGCCGCGAGGCUACACUGGUCAAGUCUAGAAGACUGGAUGUAUUCUUUAACAUUUGGCUUGUUUGUGGAGAUUAAGCGAGAUAUAGAUUUCACAAUGGAUCUUUGUCUCCUGAAUAUAUUGUAUGGACUAAGAGGGGGUGGAACAGUUUCUGCUAUCUUUGCAUCAUCCGAGACAUAUGAGUAUUCUAUAAGGUUCUCGAUUUUCGAAGAGAUAGUUUUAGAGCAGAAUUUGGGUAAGGAAAGAGAUGAGCUUAGGAGAAUGGGUUUGUCUUCUUGAUUAGUUGUAUUCAUGAGUGUGUGUCCUUUCCUACUCACCUCUCCUAUAACAUUCAUACCAUAUGUACCCAUGUUUUCCUAAGGUAGCUCUGAUACCACACUGGCCGGGAACCUCCUAUCAUGAUAACACACCUAUAAGGUUCACCAACUGAAACUUAGUUUUAUUACAUAAAAGUCAUAGGGGAGUUAGUUUUAUUACAUGUCAAUAUAUAUCUUCUUUUCUUAUACCCCUAUUUAAGAAUUACUACAAAAUAGUGGAAGACAAUUCAUGCAUGUCAAGGCCUUCGUAUCUUACACCUUGUUCUUGACGUAAAAUGAAUAAACAAACACAUAUUUGGCAAUUUGACAUGAGUAUUAAAAAUACCACCAGUUUCAACUUCGGCAAGUGGGAAAUUAAACUUCUAGGGUCAAGAAUGAUGUAUCUGAACCAUUUUUUUUUUAUAAAUUUUAAAGUUAAAAAUUGAGUUUGUUAAAUAAAAUAGUAAAAUUUGAGUCAAAUAUAGUUCGGUUUGUUAGGUUUAUAAAUUAACUCGAUUAUAUAUAUAUAUAUAUUAGGAUUGUCUAAGUGAGAACAAUUCUCAUAUAGAAAUUGUGAGAACAAUAAGUUAGAGUGAUACAACAAAAAUUAAUGGUUAAAAUUUAAACUUAGUUAAUAGUCAUGGAUCACUUAGACAAGUCAUGUUUCAUGAACAUUUAUCUUUUAAUUUUAACAAUUCAAAUAAGAUUAAUCGUUCUUAUUUAUUAUAUUAACAAUUGUUCUAAUUUAAGUAACUUUCAAUACAUACAUAUACAUGUAGUAAUAUUUAUUAUAUGAAUUUUAAUUAGUAGCUAUAUUUAUUAUUAAAAUUGAUAAACUUUAUCUAGAUGUAAAUGUAUAAUCUACCAAUACUCUAUAGGCAUUUAAAUUUAUGUUGAGAAUUUCUUAUGAUUGGUGAAAUACCAAUCCUAAGAUCUUGAAUCUCAUGAUUCUCACAAUAAUAUAAAACAAAACAAUGGUGUAAUUUCAUACAUGAAUACAUGUUAUCUGAUAUACUCAUUUGAUCUACAUUUCUGAGAGAGUUUGGUAUGAUGGACUUCCUCAACCAAAUCCUUAAUUCCUUUUGGGACCUUCGUUUUCUCUCUGGUGGAGAGAGGUGAAAAUUGUUUUUGAUUUUGGUGUGUUGGGGACUAUAACCAUUCUUUAUGUGUUAACUUAUAGGGUUCUCAUUAUUCACUAUGGGCUAACCUGUUGGGUAUUCACUGAUUAAGUUCAUAUUCGUUAUCAGCUUUUAGAAUUUUAUGAGUUGUCAAUUAUUAGAUCACUUAUAAUGUAACCCUAUAAAUAAAUAACCGAUAUAAUUUGAAUUUCUAACAAUUUAUACUUCAAAGAAGUGCAUAAAUUUGAGCUCGUUAACCCGUUUAAAAGUUCACGAACCAUAAUUGAGUUGAACUUGUAUUGAAACUCAACUCAAGUUAAUCAUUAAAAAGUCGAGCUUAGCUAAAUUCGACUCGACUCAUUUCCACUCUUACGAUCAAUAUCGUUUUCCCUUUUUAAAUGUUCAAAUUACCUAGUGAAAAACAGAAACAAUUAUUAAAUAUGAAUAUAUGUAUAUAUUAUUCAUAUAGAGGAUUGCCUAUAUAUUAAUAAAUGCUAGUUCACUAAUCCCAUCAAACCAAUCCUCCUUUGUUUCUAUUCCAGAGCCCCUUUACUUGAUAAGGUACCACUUUUCUACCUUCCUUGACCUUUUUUCUUUCACUACUUCCGCACAUUGUAGAGCAUAAGUUUAAGGAAAAUUAAAAGAUGUUAAAGACCUCAUUGACAAAAUUUUAGUGAAAGAAAUAAUUUUUUCCUCGACUCCUCUACACAAAUCUUGAUCUCAUGCAAAUCUUGUAUAACAGUCACUUUCCUUAUGAAAUCUGAGCCUUUUUGAAAAUCAAAAGAUUUCAAUGAGGGAAAUAAAUGAACUGAAAAAAUUGAAAGAUAUCAUAAUUAAGAAAGCGUUAUUACUAUGUAAUCUUCAACGACGCUUGCUUAUUUAUGUGGUGUGGAAUUUAUUAACAUUAACAAUGCUUUUUAUCAGAUACGUUGUUAAACAUAACUCAUUCAAGCCAGAGCUAACGUUACUGAUAUUCAACAAUGAUGUGUCAAGAAUGCGCUGUUGAAGUUACACACAUUGACAGUGCAUGCUUUAGUAUGCGCUGUCAAUGUUCUUCCGCCUCGUUUUCGACAGCAUUGUUUAAAAUUACGUUGUUGAAUGACCGCUGUUUAUUACGAUAUCUGGCGUAGUGAUGGUUAACCUGAUUAGCAAAGAAUGACACCUUAUUCAACUCCAACCAGGUUCCCUUCUCAAAAAACGUGGAAACCGCGAAGGUGAAAUCAUAGUUUUGGAUUAGAGGAAUAACUGACAACACAACAAUGUCAUACUCUGAAUGGAAGUGGAACUAUGUGAAUGUUUACUUUCUUACUACUGGUAAGUUCUUAUUGUAUUAUUUAACUCUUGUGUGUAAAUCCUAUACUAUUGGUACUUUUUAUUAACAUAAUUUUAAUGCGGUCUUAUAAAUUUGAGUCUUAGGCAUGCAAUCACUUUAAAUACUCAAUGAAAUUAAAGAACUUUAUCGUUCAUAAUAAUUUAAAUGAUGGAUUAGAAUGGGUUUACCUCCUAUGAAUAAUAUCUGUGGUCUUGAAAUAAAAAUAUUCUCAGCAUAUUUAAAUUGUAAUCAAUUUAGAUACUGUCUGUAACUACUUUUUACACUGUUAGCAAAUCAUUCACUAUUGAUUUAUUAAUUGCUAUUGAUUCUCAAACAAAAAAGUUAAUACAAAUCAAUGAGGAAUGAUGUUCGUGUUCUGACAAUGUAAAAAACUUUACACUGUCAGUAUACAUUUUUAAACUCAUAUAACAAAUUAAUAAUAAAAAGGAUUUAAUUAUAAUACACACUAUGUAUGAUUUUUCAAUCUUGCAUUAUCAAAAAAAUUAAAAAUUUAACUUUUAUAAUAACUAUUUCCUUUUAUGGCGAGACCUUUUUUAAUAAGUAUCUUAAAAGUAAUAUAUUAAGUGAUAUUUGAUUGGAAACCUUCUGGGUAUCAAAAUAAACUUAUAAAAAAGGUUCAAAGCACACGUCUAAUUAUAAAUUAGAAAUUGUGGUUUGGUCAGUAUCAUGCAUUGAGAUAGGGUGCACCUCUUUGUCCUUUUCUUAUGUAGUUAGUCAUCAUGACUAAUUAAAGAUCUUAACACAGGAAGAAACUUGAGGCUGGUGAGAGAAGGAGAGUAAAAUGCGGGUCAAAACAACAAUUUUAACCAUGAACAAAAACGGGAAAAAUGAGAACCUCACAUCAAAAACAGAAACCACAAAAUUAAUUAACAUAACACAUUUCUAUUAUAAAAAGCAAUGCUCUCUUCCUUGCACACAGUAAAUCUUCCUCUGAAUCAAAUCUACAUUAAUAUAUAAAGCAAGCAGGAUUCACACAAUGGCAAAGAGUACUAUAUUUCUUGCCUAUGCCCUUUGUUUCUUAUGCUUCUUUGGUUCUGCUUAUUGCCAAGACCGGUUUUCUGUGGAGGGUUUAGUUUAUUGUGACACAUGCCGCAUUCAAUUCAUUACAAAGUUGACCGAGUUUCUCGAAGGUACAUGCUUCAUUCAUACGCAAUGCACAUAAAUCAACAGCUAUAUACACCACCGUGUAGCUGAUAAAAAUAAAAGAGGGAAAAAAAGAAUGCACUUAAAAGGGAAAAUUUAUGCGAAUAGUGUAUCACACAUUUAGUAUAAAUUUUGAAAUAAUUAUAGAAGUAUAAAUUUUAUAGAACUCGUGGAUGAGGUCUACAAUUUUAGGGAAGUCGUAGACUAGAAAUAUGACAUCUCUGUCAUCUCGUGCCUAAGAGGCACGAAAUUCUUACAUAUUCUCUCUCCUCAACUGAAGUCAUGGAUCAUAUGCACGACUUUCAUAGUCGUGUCCCUAAAACACGAGUUUGGAUGGGACAUGAUGAAUUUAAAAUUUUCCGGAUAGAUGGAUAUUGUAGGGUUAUUUGUUGUUUUAGGGGUUAGUUUUAUCGUAUUAUGAUUUUUUAGAAUAAGUUAAGAUUUAUGAUUUUUAGUUUAUAAAAAGAAUAGGUUUAAAUUAAAAUAAUAAGAUGAAAUUGAAUUUGAUAAUUUUACUAAAGUGUUAGUUUUAGGGAACUUGGUUAAAGUUUUUGGUUUUUUUAAGAAUGGUGAAAAACCUUUCAUGUGAUGUCUAUUAUUUUUAUACACUAAAAAUCAUAAAUCUUAACUUAUUUUAAAAAAUCAUAUUAUACUCAAUAUAACUCACAAAACAAUAAAUAACCCUACAAUAUCCAUCUAUCUGAAAAUUCUAAAUUCACUAUGUCUCAUUCAAACUUGUGUUUUAGGGACACGAUUUUGGAAGUCGUGCAUGUGAUCCACGACUUCAGUUGAGGAGAGAGAAUAUGUAAGAAUUUUGUGCCUCUGAGGCACGAGAUGGCAUGAAUGUCGUAUUCCUGGUCCACAACAUCCCUAAAGUCGUGGACCUCAUCCACGAGUUCCAUAAAAUUUAUAUUACUUCCAUAAUUAUUUUGAAACGUAUACUAAAUAUGUGGUAGUGUAGUUUGACUACACUAUUCACCUAAGUUUUCCUACUUAAAAGUGUAUAAAAUCUAUAUAAUGUCAUUGUAUCAUCUAUCAUUCAUAUUUAAUCAUCACUCAUUUUAAAAGAACAAUAGAUGAUGUAGUAAGUGUAUAAAUUUUUUUACUAUGAGUAUAGAUGUUACUCUCAAAUUUGCAUAUCAGUUUAAUACAACCAUCAUUUCUUCUUUCAUAUAGUGGUAUUUGAUUAUUAUCUUUAAUAUCAUGUAUGGCAUGUCUAUCAGCAUUUUUAAGUAUUAUUUACCUAUUACUUAAAACACUAGUUAAUGUUAUAUUUGGAAGGAGAGAUUUUGCUAAUUAUAAUCUUCACAUAUGAACAUGAUAGGAUCAAAUAAAUAAUAUGUAUUCCUAAACUACAACACCAAUUUAAGUUAUAUACCUCGAAAUAUAAAAGAUUACAUAAUAACUAGGUAAAAUGUGUGAUGAACAUGAAUACUAACCAAUGGUAAGGGAUUUGUCGUUCAUGAUCAUAUUACCCAACUUAAACAAGGUUGUUUAAAUAAAAAUACACGUGGUUCAAACAAAAUUCACUCAAUAUUCUCAAUGUCCAUAAUCUUUUCCUUUUUACAAUUUUCAUUCUAAAGUUCCACAAUAUAAAUAUUAAUAAAGUAAAAACCAUAGAACUGCACACACUUUACGAUUGAUUAAGAACCAUAAUUGAAAAUGUGCAACCAUGCAACGUAGGUGCAACCGUACGUGUGGAAUGCAAAGAAGAAAACAGUGACAAAGUGACAUUCAGCAAAGAGGCAGUGACAGAUUCAUCAGGAUCCUACAAAUUGGAGGUAGAUGGAGACCAUGAAGAAGAAAUCUGUGAGGUUAAGCUUGUAAAGAGUCCAAGACCUGAUUGUGCAGAAAUAGACAAAGAAUUUCAUCUUGAGCAAUCUGCUAAAAUCAGCAUCACAAAGAACAAUGGAAUCGUAUCUGAUAUUCGCAACGCGAACCCUCUUGGUUUCCUUAGGAAGAAGCGUCUUCCAGCUUGUGCUGAAGUUCUUAAGGAUCUUGGAGUUCAUGAUGAUGGCACUCCAAUAUAAAGAAUAUUUGUACAACUCAAUAUGACAACUUUCAUAAUGUUGUCACAUGAGGUUACACAUAUAAACUACCCAUGGAGAAUAGAGAAAUCAUUAUAAGAGAUAUAAGAAGCUUUUUUAACAUUUUUAUUUUAAGAAUAAGGAAGGAGAGCUCAAUAUCUUUUUGUUUUUGUUUUUCCCUUUAAAUAUUAUUAGGAUCAGAAUGUGAGGAUUAAUAUUAAUAUGCUUAUAAACUAUAGGAGUUUUUCUAGAUUUAAGGAUUAGUGUUCCUCUUUCACAUUUUUGUUGGUGGAGUUUGGAUGAAUGAUAUCUCUAGCUGUUUAAUUCAUCCCUCCUGAAUCGUGUAAUCGACUUGAUUAUUUCAGCUACAAAGACAAAAAACAAGACUUAAGGGAUUCUGAUAUUUAUAAUUUAGUAUGAUUAUUACUGAUUGUGGUCUUCAUUGGUGUGGUAAUAUUCACUAAUUUCUGGAUGCCUUAACUUAAUUAUUUUAGUACAAUAUAUUAAAUAUAAUAAUAUAAAAGGUGAUAUUCUUUAACACUUCCUGAGCAAUAGAAUUUUUAUUUUUGUUCUGAACCAUUCAACAUAUACCACAUUAGUUUUUUCGGGUGAUUACUGUCUUUAACUAUAAUUUUAAUAAUAUAUUGAUGUUUUUUCACCUUAAAAUUCUCUGUAUUGUUAUUCUAUUUAGGCUCUAUAUUUUAAUUUGUCUGCUUAACAUUUCUACAAGUGUCCACUUGCAUAACUACAGAUGAGGGAGAAUUGAUUCUGUUUUUCCAAGGCUAUAAUCAUUUUGAAGCUACUUGUGAUGACAAUUAUGGAGCAUAUUUCUGACCCUGGUUUCUUAUACUACUUCUGAAAUCGAAGCUCCAACUGAAGCAAAUACUAAUAAUUAAUGAAAAAGUAUAUAAUAAUAAAAUUUUAACAUAUUAGUUGGAGUUGUCUCGGUAUUUACAGUGCAGCCCUCUCUUAUGUAACGCUUUUCUGCCUAAUAAUACUAAUUUAUUAGAAGAGAAUGAAUAUAAAAAUAUAUUUGGAGGAAGUGGAGUGUCUUAUUUGAUUGUGUUUAUAUAUAUUUUGAUGCUAGGUUAGUUGAUUGUACUUAUUAUUAAUUAAAAACUCCUAAAAUUCCCAACUAAAUUUUAUUAUACCUUCUUCAAGCCAAAAGAAAGCUGACAAAUGGUAGGUUUGAGCAAGGUUGUAACUAAAAAAACUAAGAGAAAAUAUUGACAAUUUAAGAGUGACAGUGUAUAAAACUUAUUUUGAUUACUUUUCUUAAAAAGUCAAUCAUAAUUAACUAUGAAUCACAGAUGAUACAGUGACUAUAUAAAUUCAUAUACUUUUGUUCCAUACAUUUGUUUCUCUUAUAUUACACAUCCACUAACGAAACUAAAACUAGUCCUACUUCAUUUAUCAAAAUUAGCCCUACUCCAAUUUUCAUACAAUUACAUAUUAAUAUUAGCCGAGACAAUAGACCAGCACAGAAAACAAGCAAAAGGAACAGAUGCAGAUUCAGAGUAGCUUGCACAAGGAGCCUUGCACCACAUGUUUUGAUCAUAGCAGAUUGUAUGCUUGUACAGUUGUAUAAGAAGGUUAAUAAGCCUCAUAUGAGUUUAGGGAAUUAGUUACAAAGUUAGUUAACUAUAGUUCCUAACUUAUAUAAAAAGAAACCUCCCAUUCAUUGUAAACUCAACUUCCUAUCCAAUUCAUUCAGAAUCAAUACAAGUUCUUCAUUGCUUAUUGUUGAUCACCUUCACUAGAACCAUUUUUACUAUUAAUUGUAUUGUAAUAUUUAAAAUACUUAGAAAAAAUAAAUGGGGUACACAUUUGCUCUCACACAACUUGUGGGACGGUAGAUAUGUACUCAUAACAAUAAGAAAAGUAAUGUAAAAUUUAUUUUCCAACAUACCAGUAUUGACAAAAAGAUUGGUUCUCAAAUCUAUUUCAAAACUAAUUAACAAUUAAAAAAAUAAUCUUGAAAUAUAUUUAAACCAUAUCCAUUAAAAUGAUAGAGACUAUCUCACACUUACUUUUUAAACAUAAUCUAAUCUAGAGGGAAACAUGAUUGAGUUAACACUGGCACAAAAAUGAUUGAGUUAUGUAGACACUUGUAAGUUUCUAGUCAUCCCAAACAAUUAAAAAUAUACAUAUCAUAUGAUCUAACUGUUAUGUUCUCCAUGUUAAAUUAUAACACUACUCAGUUCUCAUUUCACAGUCUCAUCAUAUAGAGUAAAAACUCAUUCCAUGUAUCAACAGGACCUGGCAAGCACCAAUGAACACAAUCAUUGACCUUCUUAUUUGUUCCAAUCACAGUCCCAUAUCUAUUGGGAUGUCCAUCAGGUCUCAUUGACAUUACUUCACUUAUAUCUAUCAAACCAAACUUUAAACCUUUCUUUCUACCUUCUUUCUCUGCUGCACUAAAUUCCUCAACUUGUAUCUCAUAUAGUUCCCUUAGAAAAUACCCUCUUUCAUAUUCAUGCCUUUCUUCUUUGGUAUAUGGUUUUGUUCUAUUACAAGCCCCUCCAUUAUACCAAUCUCCAUUCUCAAAGUGGUUUGGAGAAUGAGUCACCAAAAAUGUCAUACCCUUAAACCCUUUAAGAUUUAUAAUAGUUCUUAAUGCUGUUCUGAAUGCAAACCUGUAUCCAUAUAAGUUAGGCUCUGUCAUGUUCUCUUGACAUCUUUGGCACCCAACAAGUUGGCCGUUUUCGUAGAAUGUCAAUGGUCGAAAAAACCAUUGUCCGGUUGAGAUAAUCACAUAGUCAGAAUUUUCAAUUUGGCUAACCCAAGCUUUAUCUGCUUCAUCUAGAUAAAGGUUCUGAGCCUUGUAGAAUGCAGUAUCAUUGAGAUAAUUAUAAUCUGAUUUGACUAGAAAAGGGGACCACAAGAUUGCAAGAGUGAAGUUGUAAUCAGCAUAGAACCACCAUUUGAAAUAAUUUUCAUCCUUCAAUGCAUAUUUUGUUGUAACAUCUUCAGGAUGAGCAACCUGAUAGAGUAAUAAGGAAAAUAAUUUAGUUUCUAGACACUAGAAAGGAUCAUCAUAGGUCCCAAAAUAUUUAGAUGUAGUACUAUUACAUCAUUCGAUCCAUAUAGUCGACCUCACCUAGUAGGAUAAAGGUUUGAUUGUUGUUGUAACAAAAGUUGUAUUGUUGUAUAAUAACAUGUUCAUGAAUGCAACAUCUUAUAAGCCUUAAAUAUUUAGAUGUGUGCUUUUAGUGAAGUAAAGUAGAAUUUCACCCCACGAGGUUAAAAAAGUGAGGUAUAAAGUGGAAGAAAGUGCAUGCCAUUGAUAUGAUGUGUCUAAAGAGUAUAUAGUCUUUCAUCUAAAGGUUUGAUAUAGAGAUUGCUAAAUUGGAGGGAUUAGAGCAAUCUGAAGAAAUAAUCAAGUAGUGUUUCACAGGCAGAGACUUUUUAUACUGGAAAUAUAGUUAGGACUAUUCAACUAUUGUUAAGAGAUUUCAUUAAAUUGCAGAGAGAAGUGGUUGGAAAGCUAAACAUUUACUAUCAUUUUAUGAAGUUUGAUGUGAGAGUAGUGUAAAAUGAAAACAGUCUUAUCUCAACUAACAAAUUGAGACUUGUGUCAAACCUAUAUCAAGUUUUGAUGUGAAAGUGCAAAUUUAUGAAUUGCUAUUAGCAAUCUGAAAUUUUUUAAACAUCAAAUCUUAAUAAAUUAAAAGUCAAAUGUUCAAUUCUUGAGAGUAACGGUUGUUGACAGGAUAAUUACUAUAAUUUUCCCCCAAAAUACCUCCAAUUGUCCACAUAAUAUUCUCCUUCUUUGAAAAUUUUGCAGAGAACAGUCUCCCAUGCAAAGCCCUCAUACCUCAAUUCACCCACUUAACCAAACCUUAGAUCUAUCAUCACCAUUUCAAGCUUAUCCAAACGCACUAAACCAUAAAAAUUGAGCACUCACACAAAUCAAAGACACUACCCCUAUUCCAUCAUCAAUACCCCAUAACAGAGAUCUAUAAGUUUCCGUCUUCAUGAAUUCAAACCCAAAAAAUAGAACAACCCCAAACUCACCCAACUUCUUCAUACAGCCCAUCUUUAUUCCUUAUUAAUCAAGUCAAUAAUAAUUAAACUAUGAUACAGUGUAUAAAACUCAUGCACAUAUAAUAAUUCAGUACUUUUGAACUAAAAAAAAUAAGCAUUGGUGUAAGUGGUUUAGACUUACUAUGCAUAAAAACCGGAAGAGAUCGCGUAUUAAGUUUAACCGGUUUAAACAACUAAAUCGUUAAUGAAUGAUUUCAUACAUAAUUAAUAUUAUUAAUAUUUUUAUCUAUAUAUAUUUAUAUAAAUGUAGUAAAAUUAUAUAAUUAAUAAUAAUGUAUAACUACAUUGAAGUAAUAUUUCUUCAUAUUUUUUACAUCAGAGUAAAACAAAAUGUGAGUAGUGUUCCAUUUUUUUUUAUUUUUAAGUGAACCUUUUGAUUUACUUUUCGGGUUAAUCCGGUUUAACAUAGUCGGACCGGAAUUUCUCCGGUUCAAAGCGGUUCAACUCUCGUUCAGUUAAAACUAUAAAUCGGAGUCGUUUUUAAGUAUGGUCAACAGUUAGACCGGUCGGACCUUCCAGUAUGUCUGGUUCUCCAAAUAUUCAAUUUUAUACUUUUUUUUAAUGCAAAAUUGUUACACUCUUUUUUUGGAUUUUAAAAUCUUUCCCGCUAGAGAUUUUGAAACUGGACAAUUUAAGUCCAUAGAUGCAAUGACACGUUGACAACUAUGUGCCUUAGCUGUAGGCAAUAGCAUAUAGUAAGUGAAAUGAGGCAAAUUAAUUUCUCUUCGCAGACCAAGUGUCCCUUACCCAUACUUUCGCAGACUGAGAAAGUGUGAGACACCAAAUUUUUUGUCUGGUGUGGUGAUUGAUCAAUAACAUAAUGUUUUAUAUUGAUUAUGAUUUAUUUUCUUUUAGACAAUAACCACUUAUUAGCGUAUGGAGUGAAAUAAAUAAAUUGUGUAACAAUAGAUCUCUUUAUGUUACAUAGGGAGCAAAUUUAUUUUCUCAUUAUGACAUUCCAUGUUCCAAAAUGUGAUGGUUAUAAUCUUUCUAUUCUUCUUUUUUUCCAAAACUAAAACAUUUGUUUUGUAAGUUAUUUUUUAAGGUAGGUCCUAUAUUUUUUCCAAUAUGGUGUCAAUUAUGUGGCUAUAUAUUACCACCAAAGGCAAAAGGAUAAAUUGAUUGGAAAUAGUUUUAUUCUAAUUUUCAGAUGUUUCACAUUUGUACUAUCAAAAAUAUUUCUUACCUAUAGAAUAAGAAAUUAAUUCAUUUUAGGAUAUGUAAUUAUCAUUUCCUCUCAAUAAGUAUUGUUUCUAGGAAUAGAAACCUUAAAUUUUUUAUUCUUCUAAAAAUCUAAUAGAGUUUUACAUAAUUAGUCUAAUACCUUAUUACUACUAUUUCAAACAUCAAAAUGGAGGUUUAUUAUAUGUAUUAUCAUACGUGAAUUCAGCAGAAUUAUCCGCCCAGAUUUAUACCAAAAAUGUGUGGCCAUUAGCAUUUGGUAACAAGGUCACUGUUUUUUGUUACUGUAGCCGACCGAAACUGUUGAAAUAAUGAAAUCACGUGCAUGUAUCACGAAUUAAAUUCUUCUCCUUUUUGAUAAUUUCCUAAUUUCUUAAUCAUUCCAAUAAAAAGAUGUUAUCACUAAUCAGGGAAAAUCCAAUUGAAUUGGGGUGAAACGAAAGGUAAAAGGUUCCUCUAAAACAAGCUCAGCUAUAAAAUAAUAAUAAUAAGAACAAGAAGAAGAAUAGCAGUAUAUCAAUCUUUCCAUAUUAUUUAAUAGAAUGAGAUAUUAAUUUAUUUAAAAUAGUUAACAGUAAAUACACUCUUAUAUUAUUUAUUUAUUUUACUUUUACAUUCAAACCCAAAUAUAUUUUUGGACUAGGUGCAUAGAAUUAAAGAUGUUGAAUCCUAUUAAACUUUAAGCAAAAAAUGAAAUUUGGUUCUCAACUUCUACUCUACAUUUUUCCAAGUUAUUUUUGUCUAUAAAUUUUUCUUAAUUACACAACUUUAGUUCAUUCAUCAAGUUUUGACCAAAAAUGCUUAAAAAAUAGUCUGUGAUAAACAAUUAUCAUAGCCACAUCAUAACCUUUUUCUAAUCUUUGGAAAAAAACUUGAUGGAUUAAGUAAAUUUGCAUAAUUAAAAAAGUUUCAAGAUUAAACCAUAAAAAUAAAUAAGUAAUGGGACAAAUUUCAAACAUUAUUAACAAAAGUUAAUCAAUGAAAAACUAAGCCAAACCAAAAAGUGCAAACUUCAAAGUAACGAAGAAUAACUUACUGUGUUUAAGAGGCACAACAAAGAGUCCAUUUGAUUUCUCCCAAUUGAGUCCCCAACAAAGACCAUAGAUUUUCCCCUCACAAGCUUCAAGAAUAGAGUUGCAUCAAAUAAUGGAAGCUCACACUCAUCAGGUUUCCAUCUAAAUUUGAUGAAGUCACUGUCAGGUCUUCCUUGCUUCAAACAAUUUUGCCUAUCAUUCAUGAAAUGACAAGUUUCAUUAUUGUAGUAAGGACCUCCUAGAUAAGGUUUCCAAUUUCCUAUAGUUAUGUUGCAUCUUGUUGUUGUAGUUGUUGUUGGGGUGGUUUCUGAUCUGUUACUAUAUAUCUUAUAAGAUGAUAGGUUUAAGUUUCUGAUGAGCGGAAAAAGGACCACUAUGAUGAGCAAAGUUAAUGGUAAUAGGAACACACCUUUGGGGAUGUUUCUUGUUGUGUAAUUGCAUUUCAAAAUCUCAGGAACUUCAAACUUCAUGGUUUUGAUAAGGCUUGGAAUGAUUUUAAAAAGAAAAAAUCACUGUGUGGAAGGUUUGAUAUGUAUAUUUUUAUAUGGACAGUGCUGGUUUUCUUGAAACUGAGUAUAGUGACAACUGUAGAGCAGAUCUCUGACCCUGGUUUCUUAACAGGAAAAUGAUAUGUAUUGGUAAGCUCCAACUGACAUAAAUAGUAAUUAAUGAAAAAAUAAUAGUUUUAAGAAGAUUUUUGUGGUGUUAGUUGGAUUUGCCUUGGUAAUUACAGUGCAGCCCACUGUCAGCAACUUCUGCCAAGUUAUAAUAAUUUAUUAGAAAAGAAAUAAUAUAAUACUUAAUACAGGUGGACCAUCAUAUUUAAGGGAGGGGUAAAUUAAAAAAAUAUACCUCACAUCUUAGUCAUUAUUCUAAAAAGUUUGAAUUAGUGAAUAAAUAUGAAUUAUUAGAUUUUUCUAGAAUGAGUAACUAAGAUAUAGAGUUGUGUAUCCUCUCCCCAUAUUUAAUUAUAUUACAAAUAAAUAUAUCAUGCUAAAAAUUAACUUAUACCAUAUAAAAGAAAAGUAAUUAUUCUUCUAUAUUGAAAUAAUGUUAUCGAAAUUUAAGUUUUCUUUCUGAAUUCGAGUAACACCAGCCUCGAGGCUUCUUGGGGUUUGUCUUGUCUGGUUGAAUUUGGGCAAUUAUUAAUCUUGUACUAUCUUAAGUGGAGAAUUUAUUUUGUUAGUGUAGUUUGAUCAAAGAAUUAUCAGAAUAGUGUAACUUUUUGCUAAUUACCGAAGUAGUAUAUUUUUAUGGAAAUCGGCUACCACAUAGUUAUUUUGCUUUUUCUUUAUCUCUUGGUUCCACCAAAAUCGGCAACACUGGUGAAGGUUUUGUUUUUUAUUUUUUUAUUCCUAGGAGAAUCAGCAAUAGAGUAUGAGUUUAAUUUUGUUUUUUUGUGCCCUAGCAGAAUCGGCAAUGUAGAAGGAGUAUAUCAUUUUUUUUAAUAUAUAUGCCUUAAUCGGCAAUGUAUGUGGAGUUUAAAAAAAAUUAUUCCUUAGAAAAUCGUUUAUAGGAAAUGAUUUUUAUUUUUAUUUUAUUUUAUUUUAUUUUUGUACCGAAUCGGCUAUCAUAAUGGGUUUUAUAUUUAAAUUUUUAGUAUAAUAGGUUAGUAAUAAACAAAAAAUAUACUAAAACUUUAAAUAUAAAAUUGAAUCAUGAUAGCCGAUUCUUGUUAGGUACAAGAAUAAAGUAAAAUAAAAUAAAAAGUAAAACUCAUUUCCUAUAAACAACUCUCUAAGGAAUAAAAAAAAACUAAAACUCCACAUACAUUGUUGAUUAAGGCAUAUAUAUUAAAAAAGGAGAUAUUCCUUCUACAUUGCCGAUUCUGCUAGGACAUACGAAAAAAACAAAUAAAAAUAAAACUUCUACUCUAUUGUCGAUUCUCCUAGGAAGAAAAAAAAUAAAAAACAAAACCUCCACCAGCAAUGCCAAUUUAGGCAUAUAUAUUAAAAAAAGAAGGACAAACUCCUUCUCCAUUGACGAGUUUGCAGGAAAAAGUUAAAAAAUAAACUCCACCAGGGUUGCUGAUUUUGAUGGGACCAAGAGAAAAAGAAAAUGCAAAACGGCUAUGUGAUAGCCGAUUUCCAUAAAAAUACACUAUUUUAGUAAUUAGCAAAAAAGUUACACUACUCUGGUAAUUCUUUGGUCAAACUACACUAACAGAUUAAAUUCUCCCACCUUAAGCCUUUUGUUUGGUAUGAGAGAAUUAGAAUGGAGAGAAAUGAGUGAGAGGAAGAUUGAAGAGAAAGUGAAGAUUUCUCCUCUUUGGUUGUGAAGGGAGAAAGAGAGGAGAGAGUAAAAAAGGUGUGAGACCCACCAUAAUUUCUUUCUCCCCUAGCUUUGUGAGAAAGUGAAGAGAGAUGGUGAUUUUAUUUGAAAUGUCAAAUAUACCAUCAAUUUUUAUCUAUUUGUUUUAAAAGUGUAAUAUCUAUAAUUUUAUUUGAUAAUAAAUAAUGAUUGAAAAUGAAUGAUGAAUAAUACAGUGACAGUAUAGAAGACUCUUACACUAGCAAUACAUACAUUAUUUCUCUUGCUUUAAAUAUUAGUAAUAUAUAGAGAUGGCAAAACGUGUCGCCUGACCCGUUUAGCCCACGCCUGCAAAUGCCCACAAAAAUUUAAGUGUACGCGAGCAUGCCCACAUUUGCUUAAUGGACAAAAUUCAAUGCCCUGCUCGUUCUAAAAUGGGUUUGGGGCGACCUGCAAGCAUUGUUGAAUAAUUAAAAAAUAUAAAAAAUUGAUAUAAUAAAAUUAAAUAAAGUAGUUGAACAUAAAAAAUUAACAAUUUUUUUUGACAUUUUAUAUGAAGUUUAACAAAUUACAUUAGAUUACAAUUUUUUAGGGAAUAAAAUUCACAUUACAUCAUAACUUAUUUAAAAUUUUCUUAUUUUUUUCUUAAAUUAUAUUUAUGGGCCGCCCGCAUGCUCAACGGAAAUACCCACAAACUUAGCGGACAAAAUGGGUCGAGCAAAAUUGGCAAAUGAACAAAAAAUGUAUAUCAUGCCCGCAAAGAAAUGUGGGCUAUGCGAACGCGCCCGCAGGCAAUACCUGUUUUGCCAUGUUUAGUAAUAUACGUAAAUAUUUUUUAAAUAUAAAAAUAUUAAUUAAAAACAAUUGAAAUUAUAAUAAAAUAUAUAAUAUAAAAUUAUAACAUUUAUUUUCAAUUAAUAAUAAAAGAACUUAUUUAUUUAUAUUUUUUAGGGACAUUUUUAUCAUUUGAACCAUAACAUCAUUUCUCUAUUCUAAUCUUCUAUCCAACCAAACAAAAAAGUAAAAGAAGAAAAUAUAUAUUUCUAUUCAUUUUCUCUUCUUAUUCUCUUAUAUCAAAUAUCACAAAAAUCUACUUUAAUUCUUCUCUUUCUCACCUAUUUUUUUCUUACCUUUUUCUCUCUUCUUAUUUUCUCUUGUCAACCAAAUAAAGCAUAAGUGGAUACUUGAAAAUGAACUCUAAUAUUUAGAGGACUAUGCUUAGAAAGAGAAUGAUUUCAUCUAUUCAUCAUGUGAGAUUGAGUGGAUUGCACUCCAAAGAGGAAGUGUGUCAUUAAUAUCAAUGGUAUGGCCUUGUUCUUUCAGCCUACCAGACCUAUAAUGCUGAAGGUUUGGACUACCUCUGUCAUGUAGGCAAUGUGAGCAUGUCCACUACUCAGGUGGCGCAACCUUGCCGUUGGUAGGAAUGAAGUUUUAUGGCAUAGUAGGUGUUGGCUUGGCCAUGUCGAUGUUAUCAUUUCCCUUUGUUAGGUUGGCCUUCCAAGCCUAAUCAUCAAUCAUGUAAACUAGAUUUUGCCUACCUAAUAAUUGACUUCAUUCAUAGUGAUCGAAUAGUGUUGACCAAUCCUAAUAUUGUGAUGGACAUUAAUAUUUAGUUUUUAAGAGACAUAUAUCACUUUCUUGUGAUAUAAAAAAAAUUGUAAACUAAUUUUAUAGGAUAAUAUAUAUUUUUCUUAAAUUAAUUAUACUUUUUUAAUGCUAAACUCAAAGACAUUAUAUUAAUAACUUGUAAAAAAGGAUUAAUAUACUACUUAUAUUUUUAGAUGCUUGAUAUUAGAAAAUGAUAAUUAAUUGAAUUCGUUGUUUUUAGAAAAAUUAAAAUCAAUACUCUAAUAAUCUAAAGUAGUAGUUCUGUUAUGCAAUGACUCAUAUCUUUAGAUAACAGUAAUACAAGUUAUGAGUUUGAGCUGAUGAAUCGGCAAUGUAGAAGGAGUAUAUCAUUUUUUUUAAUAUAUAUGCCUUAAUCGGCAAUGUAUGUGGAGUUUAAAAAAAAUUAUUCCUUAGAAAAUCGUUUAUAGGAAAUGAUUUUUAUUUUUAUUUUAUUUUAUUUUAUUUUUGUACCGAAUCGGCUAUCAUAAUGGGUUUUAUAUUUAAAUUUUUAGUAUAAUAGGUUAGUAAUAAACAAAAAAUAUACUAAAACUUUAAAUAUAAAAUUGAAUCAUGAUAGCCGAUUCUUGUUAGGUACAAGAAUAAAGUAAAAUAAAAUAAAAAGUAAAACUCAUUUCCUAUAAACAACUCUCUAAGGAAUAAAAAAAAACUAAAACUCCACAUACAUUGUUGAUUAAGGCAUAUAUAUUAAAAAAGGAGAUAUUCCUUCUACAUUGCCGAUUCUGCUAGGACAUACGAAAAAAACAAAUAAAAAUAAAACUUCUACUCUAUUGUCGAUUCUCCUAGGAAGAAAAAAAAUAAAAAACAAAACCUCCACCAGCAAUGCCAAUUUAGGCAUAUAUAUUAAAAAAAGAAGGACAAACUCCUUCUCCAUUGACGAGUUUGCAGGAAAAAGUUAAAAAAUAAACUCCACCAGGGUUGCUGAUUUUGAUGGGACCAAGAGAAAAAGAAAAUGCAAAACGGCUAUGUGAUAGCCGAUUUCCAUAAAAAUACACUAUUUUAGUAAUUAGCAAAAAAGUUACACUACUCUGGUAAUUCUUUGGUCAAACUACACUAACAGAUUAAAUUCUCCCACCUUAAGCCUUUUGUUUGGUAUGAGAGAAUUAGAAUGGAGAGAAAUGAGUGAGAGGAAGAUUGAAGAGAAAGUGAAGAUUUCUCCUCUUUGGUUGUGAAGGGAGAAAGAGAGGAGAGAGUAAAAAAGGUGUGAGACCCACCAUAAUUUCUUUCUCCCCUAGCUUUGUGAGAAAGUGAAGAGAGAUGGUGAUUUUAUUUGAAAUGUCAAAUAUACCAUCAAUUUUUAUCUAUUUGUUUUAAAAGUGUAAUAUCUAUAAUUUUAUUUGAUAAUAAAUAAUGAUUGAAAAUGAAUGAUGAAUAAUACAGUGACAGUAUAGAAGACUCUUACACUAGCAAUACAUACAUUAUUUCUCUUGCUUUAAAUAUUAGUAAUAUAUAGAGAUGGCAAAACGUGUCGCCUGACCCGUUUAGCCCACGCCUGCAAAUGCCCACAAAAAUUUAAGUGUACGCGAGCAUGCCCACAUUUGCUUAAUGGACAAAAUUCAAUGCCCUGCUCGUUCUAAAAUGGGUUUGGGGCGACCUGCAAGCAUUGUUGAAUAAUUAAAAAAUAUAAAAAAUUGAUAUAAUAAAAUUAAAUAAAGUAGUUGAACAUAAAAAAUUAACAAUUUUUUUUGACAUUUUAUAUGAAGUUUAACAAAUUACAUUAGAUUACAAUUUUUUAGGGAAUAAAAUUCACAUUACAUCAUAACUUAUUUAAAAUUUUCUUAUUUUUUUCUUAAAUUAUAUUUAUGGGCCGCCCGCAUGCUCAACGGAAAUACCCACAAACUUAGCGGACAAAAUGGGUCGAGCAAAAUUGGCAAAUGAACAAAAAAUGUAUAUCAUGCCCGCAAAGAAAUGUGGGCUAUGCGAACGCGCCCGCAGGCAAUACCUGUUUUGCCAUGUUUAGUAAUAUACGUAAAUAUUUUUUAAAUAUAAAAAUAUUAAUUAAAAACAAUUGAAAUUAUAAUAAAAUAUAUAAUAUAAAAUUAUAACAUUUAUUUUCAAUUAAUAAUAAAAGAACUUAUUUAUUUAUAUUUUUUAGGGACAUUUUUAUCAUUUGAACCAUAACAUCAUUUCUCUAUUCUAAUCUUCUAUCCAACCAAACAAAAAAGUAAAAGAAGAAAAUAUAUAUUUCUAUUCAUUUUCUCUUCUUAUUCUCUUAUAUCAAAUAUCACAAAAAUCUACUUUAAUUCUUCUCUUUCUCACCUAUUUUUUUCUUACCUUUUUCUCUCUUCUUAUUUUCUCUUGUCAACCAAAUAAAGCAUAAGUGGAUACUUGAAAAUGAACUCUAAUAUUUAGAGGACUAUGCUUAGAAAGAGAAUGAUUUCAUCUAUUCAUCAUGUGAGAUUGAGUGGAUUGCACUCCAAAGAGGAAGUGUGUCAUUAAUAUCAAUGGUAUGGCCUUGUUCUUUCAGCCUACCAGACCUAUAAUGCUGAAGGUUUGGACUACCUCUGUCAUGUAGGCAAUGUGAGCAUGUCCACUACUCAGGUGGCGCAACCUUGCCGUUGGUAGGAAUGAAGUUUUAUGGCAUAGUAGGUGUUGGCUUGGCCAUGUCGAUGUUAUCAUUUCCCUUUGUUAGGUUGGCCUUCCAAGCCUAAUCAUCAAUCAUGUAAACUAGAUUUUGCCUACCUAAUAAUUGACUUCAUUCAUAGUGAUCGAAUAGUGUUGACCAAUCCUAAUAUUGUGAUGGACAUUAAUAUUUAGUUUUUAAGAGACAUAUAUCACUUUCUUGUGAUAUAAAAAAAAUUGUAAACUAAUUUUAUAGGAUAAUAUAUAUUUUUCUUAAAUUAAUUAUACUUUUUUAAUGCUAAACUCAAAGACAUUAUAUUAAUAACUUGUAAAAAAGGAUUAAUAUACUACUUAUAUUUUUAGAUGCUUGAUAUUAGAAAAUGAUAAUUAAUUGAAUUCGUUGUUUUUAGAAAAAUUAAAAUCAAUACUCUAAUAAUCUAAAGUAGUAGUUCUGUUAUGCAAUGACUCAUAUCUUUAGAUAACAGUAAUACAAGUUAUGAGUUUGAGCUGAUGUAAAUGGGUUGGGGUAGAUGGCUAUAUAUAUUGAUGUUAUGUAAACCUAAUGUAACAAGGAGAAGAAUAGUAAAAUACUAAUUUUUAUUCUCUAAUAAUAUAUAGUGGUAGCCGCUCAACGCUCCCGGGGACGUAAGCACAAUUGGCCGAACCUCGUUACCAAAUCUCUUGU
This 76048-nucleotide long non-coding RNA is filed under the name Lupinus angustifolius (narrow-leaved blue lupine). RNAcentral describes it as "long non-coding RNA (LANG_LNC002484)". The record is from RNAcentral. Lineage: Eukaryota; Viridiplantae; Streptophyta; Magnoliopsida; Fabales; Fabaceae.